AGCGGCCGGGCUCGGGCAGCGCGUCUGUCCUCACCGAUAGGAGCGCCGAGUUCGCAGCCCGUGGACGUGCCGGCGUGGGCGCACGGUAACCGGGAGAUUGUAUUCGUUAACAGUUGAAUCUUGCUUUACCCUUCCAGUCAGCGGAUGCUUCUGAAUCUUUAGGUAUGGAUUAUGUGAGAUUUCCUUUUUUUUUUUUUUUGCUUUGCCUCCUCUUCCAAAAAAAGCGUUCGCUGUGUAGGUGAGGCUGGAAGGCUUUUUCCCACGUGAGCCUUUCAAAGUCACUGCCGUCUCCGCUAAGUGCAUUUAAGGCUGCCGCGGUUGUCAGCCGUGCAAAGGACAGCAGCGGGGCAGCGUGGGACAAGCCAGCGUGCUGCCAUCGCUUUUGUUGACGGAGCAAUCCAGCGUUGAAGGUUUGCAGCAUACGGCACUGCUCCGGCUCCGCAUCCCGCUGCAGUGGUGUCAGCAUCGCUGCCGUGCCGGGAGCAGAAGGAGCAGCGCCUGCCCCGAGGCACCCGUGCAGGGGACCUUUAAUUGUGCACCCAAACGCGAUGGCGGCGCAGAUCGGCUCUUUGCAGGCAGAUUUUUAGAUUCUCAAGUGACCGAUUGCCUCAUAUGUGAGAUCUGUUUACAAACCUUCUUGUUACUAUGAAGACAAAACAGAGAGCCAUAUGCAUUCAUGUGGUCCUCGCUGAAUAAUGGUACAUGUGUCUGCCUGAGCCCUUGGCAGCGCAUCGUGUUUGGUUUGUGUGGUGGCACCCCACAAGGCCAUUCUUUGGGCUUUUAACUGUUUGUGAGACAGCUGGCCAUCGGUUACGGGGACAAACUUUGUGACAGAGCUGGAAGUUUUCUAAGCCUGAAAUGUCAACAUUUAUUCGGGUUGCUGUUUUUCUGAACUAGGUUUGCACAAAAAUGGAAGUAAUGAGUACCAUUUUACGUGGCCUUCUUCUCAUGGCUUUCAAGCCAUCAGCAGGGGAAUUACAAUUACUGGUAGGUAAGGGGAGUAGGGAGCUGUAAAUCCGCUGCGCACAACACACUUAGCUAAUCCUGCAAUGUGUCCCAUCCAGCAGGGCAAUGCUUGCUGUUUGCACGUUGCUGUAGGUGGGAAGGUCGGUUAUGUGGCUUGUCAGGUGUUAUGAAAUACUAGCAAGAUAUCUUUACAUUUCAACGCGGUGUGGUUUUUGUAGCGUGCUGUGGUUGGCUAUGCUGAUAAUGCUGCAUCCAGCUCUGCAGGUGGGUUCAGCAAGCAGCACCUCCACAUCAUUCCCACUUGAUUCCGUGUGUCACGGUUCCAGGUACUACCAUUGGAGUGGAGCUCUGGCUUUCUCCAGCUGUCUUUGCUCCUUCUUUAAGCUGGGUCCAGCGAGGGCUGGUUCCUUGUAUUGCGACGAGGGGACAGUGCUUUACUUGCCUCGCCUUGGUCAAUGGAGAAGAGACGUUUGAACCCAAGAGCAGCUGCUUAUAAACCAUCGGUCCUCCCAGCAGGAGGUGUGAUGGGUUCCAGUCUUCAGGGAGCAUUAAUUGCUGAUCCUCUUGGGAGCCCAACAGAUGUGCUGUAUGCGCAAGCUGCGUACCUUUGCUAUUUGAAAAGUCUGAUAAGUUACGGGGAAACUGCUUUAAAAAUUAUUUUAUUUAAAGAGACAGCUUGUUUUUUUCUUGACAGAUUUUGUAAGCAGUGUCUCUGAAGCAGUGUGCAAUGGAUUAAAACAGCUAUUUUUGAAAUUACUUGGUUUUCUACUGUAAUGUAACUCCCCUUUUGUCAGUAGGAGGAACUGUCUGGCAGUUCCUGAAGAAGCAAAGAAACUGUGAGGGGAGAUGCAAGCUAGAUAGAAAAUGGAGAACAGUGUUUUUCAGUGGUACGCUUCAAUCGGUAACUUUGGAUGCUGCUUUUAAUUAAAGUAGCACGGAAUUAUCACAUAAGAACGUCAGUUUCAAGCUGUCUGUGCCGUUUUAUUAGGAAAUAGCAGCUUUGUACGGUUUUGUUUCUCUUUGUAGGAAGACUUUGCAAGAGCAGUUCUAUUUCGGCAGGAAAUAUUAAAAAGCAAUUCAUCAGGGCUGUAUUUUUCUUCAGUGAAAUUAGUGCUUGGCUGACACCCUGAAGGCAGAAAUCCUUUGUAGGUGGAAGGGUUGGAAGUGUUUCCAUUGUAACCAACUGGCGAGCCUCUCCUUGGACUUUGAGAAGUCGUCAGUGAGUGUGAGUGUAAAGGCUGUGUGAACCUCUGGGAACAUCCAUGCUUUGGGUUCUUUGCUCAAGUGGCAAACGAGAGGCACCACAUACUUCUGGUUUUAGAAUAGUGAACUCUACUUAGAAGUGAAACAAUUGACAUUGACUAACCACUCAUUAGCAGUGGGACGCCCCCAGUAAGAUUUAUCCCCACAAUCUUUCUCACUAAGCUGUGGAUGUGGAAGAGAGACGAGAGGGCUUCAGCUGCAGCAACAGUCUGAAGUGCUGUUUCCAAACCCCUGAUGUGAAAUAAUCAGAGGACAUACAAGUGUCAUAUGUAACGUUGCCUGUCAAAUUAAAAGUCUCUUUGCUUGUUUCUUAUUUUCUUGUGAUUAAUUUCUCACCACCAUUAAUAUAGUCUGAAUAGGAGUUACCUCACGUUGUGAGGAAGCGUUGUGCAUUCUGGGUGCUUAUUUUCAUUUGCCUUUUGGGCACAUUUGUACACCUGCAAAACAGUACGCCAGAGUAAUAAUAGUUGAAUGUGGACCACAAGUGUUUAUGCUCACAGCAUUGCCCGUGUUUCCGUAUUUCCUCCUCCUGCCCUGGGCAUGCCUCUUUUGGUGCUUUCUUGAAGUUGAAUGUUGCCUUUGCCUUUGUCACUGAUUGCUGUGAUUGUCAGCAAAGGGGUUUCUCUUAGUAAGCCAAAACCUAUACGUGCUGGUUUUUUUUCUUCUCCUCUUUCUUUGGAUAGGAAUCUCAGGCCUUGUGCUCCAGAAAAUGUGACGGUAGUCUUGAAGUUCUACAUUACAACAAUGUGGUUGUAAUUAUCUGAUAGGAGUUCCCCCAGCAUUUGGCUGUGAUGGUAUGAUGAGUUUGUGUGGCGAUUUUUAUCCUUUUCUUCUGCUCCUAUCAGAGUAGUUGAGAUCUCAACAGGAAAACUGUAAAACUUCUAAAACUGAUGUGAAAACUGUAAAUAUUGUACAGAAGUCGUUGGUGAGGUGUUUAUGGCCACUUCACGCACACAUGGCUUUGAUUUGUUGCGCCUCAAUUUGUGUAACAGAAAAUAAUUUUACUGUGGGUUUUGGUUUUUAUUUUAUUUUUACUUGUGUUUGACGGUUCUCUUCUGAUACAUUUAUCAAGUCUGAAAAUUGCCACUCUAAUAUGAAAGAAUUUCUGCCUGCAGGAAAAAAAAAAAAACAUAUUAAGAAUAGAAGUUCACUUUGUUGCAACUUCAAUAAGCUGUAAUAAACUCCUGCAGCUCUGGCUGAAAUCUCUCAUUUAUGGAAGCUGUGAAGAGGUUAAAAAAAUAUAUAUGGUAAUUAUUAAAAGGUAUACUUUAAUGGCUCUUGGGUUAUAAAAGAGGAGCUCCGUGUUUGGUUGCUACAGAAAGUUUAAUUUUUAAAUAGUGGUUUACGGACCAGAUAGAUUAUUUGCACGUGUAGUUCAGUUCAGUAGAAAAGUAAAAACUAGAGGAGCCGAGGGGAAUUGAAAUUAGAAAGUCAGAUGGCAUUUAAAGGUAAUGCAGUAAAAUCUUUUGAUCCUCUUUGUAAGAAAACCCUCACAUAACACCAAAGCAGAAAAAAUAAACAACAACAACUGAUUAUUUUUCUGCAGUUCAUAGUGCGUGUUGGGCCUUUAUUUGGCUUCAGAGGGUUGGUGUUGCUCCUGGGCUGACCGGGCUAACCUCAUCCUCCCUGGACUCUGGUGGCGUGCCUGGAACUUCCCAGUGCUGGGUUUGGUGGUGAGCUGCUGCUGGAGCCUGGGUGUGCGUUCCUUCUCGAGUGGUUUAUGAAGAAGCAGUAAUACGGGAUGUUUUCUAAUAAGCAAUUUAAAAGGCUGAAAGAAAUAUCCAAUUACGUGUCGUAGAACAUGAUAUCAUCUCGGAGAAUGUAAUAGAGCAGAAUGUUUAAUUUUGUUGAAACAAGAUUAUUUAAUGAUCAGUUUUUCCAUAAAGCAGUGUCUGUGCUUAGGCGGAAAGCAGCUUUAUGUUAAAAAAACCAAAAGGCUAACAGGACAGAUGAGGGUUAUUAGAAUUAGUCUUGCUAGACAGUGUGUAUUGUUCUUUUCUGUUAAAUUCAAGAAAUGGCCCAUUCUCUGUAUUGAUAUAUUUUCAAUUUGUGGUUUGCACUAAAACAAAACACGUGUAGUGUAUCAAGAAAUAAUAGUAUGAAAUAAUAAGUGGAGCUACCCAUCCUUGACAACAAGACAUGACACUAUUUAGUUUAGAGCAAAAAGUAUUUAGUUUAUAGCAAAAACUAUUUAGUUUAGACCAAAGUCAGUAUUCAACAGACUGAGCUGCUGGCAUCUAUUAACAGUGUUCGUCAUUGUGUGCAUGGCAUUUGAGUGCUGCCUGUUCAGAAGGGUCCUCAAAGUAUGUGGAGUUUCAUGUCCCUUGCCUUUCCGAAACAGGUAAAAUAGUUCAGUUACCUGAAAAAUGUAUCACUGUGUGCUCUAUCUACUGUCAGUUUAGGUGGUGUUUGGAAGUGAUUUUAUAUCAUUCUGUGCACGCAUCAGCAAUGGUAAAGAAGCACUCUAGAGAUGAGUGUAAGCCCGUCUGUAGCUGACAUCCGUGCAUGCUGACAGUGCCUAACUGCAUCCCCUGUGACAACUCUGAACACAGAUCUAUCAUGAGAUUUGAGUUUCUAACACCGUUUACAUUAUAGAAAAGAGGGUCCAGUGUUCAGUCUUCCGUAACAACAGAGAGAGACAAAUUUUGACUUUUUCCCUUUUUACAUCAGCUAUGUUUAGGAAGACAGUUUUUGUAGCUGGAAAUAGUUUUCUAGUGAGAGAGUUACUCAUAUUUGACCAGAUGUUCGUAGGCUCCUACAAUUAAAUCCCAAUGCUCUUUUAGUCAAUAAAAGUUUCUACACCAGUAAAGAUACGAUUCAACUAUGAACCUUCAGACCACAAUGUCAGACUUCUUGAUGCUGUGUGAUAUGAUAGUCUGUUUUGAUUACCAGGACAGGUCACGAUAGAGUAAAGCUGCUCAGAGUAAAGCAGCUGUUUUGACAUUUCUGCAAAGCUAUGCAAAUACAAUUGCUUUCAAAAUUCUUAGUAAAAUUGUAUCAAACAGAACUUGUAGCCCAUUCUAUUAUUUUGUGCAUGAUCUUACAGUAGCAGCAAGAUUCUUUCAGAAGGUAGAGAACAUUUUGACUGCUCUGUUUAGCUAGAAUUUUUGUUUCCUUAAAGCUCAAAUAAUGGGCAAGCUACGUGUAUUUAAUUGUGAUGUGCAGUUGUGGUUAAGUGUAAGGAUAGGAGUCAUUUAUAAUACACUUGAGUUGGAAAUGAUGUUAUUGAAAUGGUGCUCUGUGAUAUUAGCAUGAUGUUGGUGAAAUAAAACUUCACGGGAUGGUGUUUCUUUGAGAGCUAGAGCAAUGCCAAAUAUGUUGUCUGUACCUCCCUGGUAGUUUGGUAUGGUGGCAACGAAGUUAGGAUGGAGUAGGCACUGUUAUCUGUCAAAUUUGAUACAUAUUACAUACAUAUUGUUCACAUCAUUAUUUUUAAUCUCUGAUCUACUUAAUUACUAAUUAAAAACAUAUACAAAUCUUUACUCGUCUUUGACUUAAUUUAUCAUAGUGAGCAGUGCUAAUUAUUGGUAGAAAAUUACUGCGAAUUAAUAAAACUACUGCAUAAGAUGGUGUAACUAAUAGCACAUGUCUGAGACAGCUACAGUUUUGAAAAGAAGUAAGAUUGUAAGUUAGUGCUGGUAUAUACUAGUAUGAAAGUUUCCAUAGUACCUUUCUGUGGUUUAGUUUGUUAUUGCCAGGACUUUGUCCACAAAAUGUCAGGAGACAAAGGGAUGACAAAGAACAUUAAAAUUCUCUGCUUUGUUUUUAGCUCAGCUCAUUAAUAGUUGAAAACUGUUGUCAGAUAGAAUAAUAGCAUCAUAGAAUGGCUUAGGUAGGAAGGGACCUUAAAGAUCAUCUAGUUCCAACCUCCCUGCCAUGGGCAGGGUUGCCACCCUGAUUCCAUUAAGUUGCUUAAUGGUCUCUUUGUAGGCAAAUAUUCAUUGCUCUCUGUAGUGCUCUUAUGAACAAGCUCAGCAGAGAGGUGAGAGAGUAAUAGGGAAGGAAAUGAGCCUAUAUUCCAAAAUCUCCUUCCUCCAAAAUCUCUCUUUUGGAGCAAAGUCAAUAUAUUGCUGGGUUGUACAUAUUUCAGUUUCCGUAGUCUUCCAUGAUGGAAAGUUAGUCUGGACGCAUUCACUUGUAGGAGGUAAGUGUGUAAGGAGAGGAACUUCUGCUUUAGUUUUGGUCUGUGUCCUCUAUGUGAUGCUUUACAGUGGUGCAUCUUGGUUCUUGCUUGUUCUUUCACAGUAAUGGUGAAGUAGCUUUCUGUAGGCAUGCCCUGAUUUUCCUUCCCUUGCUCUCCAGAGCAGCCUCUACAUGUCAGGCAAGAGAAAGACACGUGGGACUGUGGAGUUCCUUUACACACACCUCUCCGAAACUUCAGUGCAGCGUAUUUUCCGCAAAUGGAGUGAAACCUUAUUAUUUACUUUCUCUGUCGCACACUACUACUGCCAUAGUAAUUAAAAAAGAAAGUGAGGAGGGUACUAAAUAGACGUUUCUGGAUGUACAGUGAAUGAAAGCUUGGAGGGGAAGUUUAAUGAUAUGUUAAGGGGAGGUUUGAAUAUGACUGGCAGUUGAUUAUAAUUGUCUUCAAGAAGAUACUUUUGUCAGAUCAGGUCUCCCUCUAACAUUAAGUCCUCAACCUAAAUAAUAUUAGUAUUUCAGCUUUAAAGUCCCUGUCAAAUUGUAAACCAUACAUGCUUGUUUUGAUGAGUAAUGAAGAUUCAUUACAAAUCACCAUCAUGGCUUUGGUGGUAGCAUCCUCUGAUUUGCAUUGAUUCCUCCACAAAAGAAUCACCCUCAGAAUACAAUGUGGAACACCGUCUUAUCUUGCUUAAUGCUUGCAGAUAAUUUUCUUUACAUUUGCUUAUGCACUGUUUUGAUUUAUUUCAGUUGCAGUAUCAUUUGAUCCUGCUCAGUAGUUCAGCCCACUUAACUAGCAAGCAAGGGAAUAAAUUAAACCAAUUUUGGACAGACUCUUUCUCUGCCAAGUGGGCUGUCUGGCAAACCAAGAGUAUAAUAAAUAGGGUUUGUGGCUAUUUACAGACUUAUAUAUUAGAAAACAGCUAUGCUUCCCAGUUUCAUUACAUAACUUGAGUGGUGGGUUAUACUCGUGUUUCUCUUAGCCAAAGAAAUGCAGUUCUGUACUGUACCCUACCUGCCUUGUAUGCUUGCUUGAUCAGUGAAACCUCAUCACUUGGUUCUGGAACUGCUUGUGAAGAUGAUUUGAGAAAUCUGUAUUUCAUCUCAGUUCGUGCGUGCUGCCAUUUUUUUUUUUUAAUGUGGUCUCAUACCUUCUUGUUUGAAAUGGCGUUAUUGCUGAGGCCUUUUGUUUGUCUUUUUUCUUGUUGUUUUUUCUUUCUUUUUCCUGCUUGUAUUGUUCAGCAUAAAAAAAAAAAAAAGACAUAAGAAAACCGUGUUUAUAAUAGGAUUGUGGAAUAACCGAUCCGUCCUAUGUAUUUCAUCUUCCAUGUGAAACUCAGUAGCACAGCAAUGCCGAGCUGCAUUUGCUUAACACCAAUCUUUGGGUUUUUCUUUGCACUUUCACACUUUUAAAUGCAAUUUUAAAAGAGCCCUGUACCUGUUGGGUUGAUUAAAGGGGAGGUGAACUUUUUUUUUUUAUGUGCUACAAUGAAAAUGAAAAAUAAAUAGGAAAAAGCCUAUAUCAACCAAAGCUUAUGACAUGAUGUUAAAACGUAUAACCUUGGGCAAAAGGGGCCAGUUAUUGGAGUAGUUCUUGAGUAACCUAAUUGUUUGAUAAGGAUCCUAGCCUGUUUAAGUUGUUGUUGGUUGUUGGAAGCAUUCCAUUUCUAAAUUUGUGCCUUACUGCAUACCCUGAGGUAUGUGUACAACCCACUGUAAUUGCAGAGUUUACUAUUUUAUUAAUUAGAGCUAUGAUAAUACGUUGGCUCAUGAAUUCCCUCUAAUCCAGGUAUGGUCUCCUAAUUGCCCAGGGUUCUGUAAUUCCAUUGUUUGUUAUGUGGAGGUGAUGGAGAGUGAAAGCAUGGUCUGAGGAACUCAACCCAUGCCCUGAAGCCUGCAGUUGGUGUGCUGUUGCAACCAAUGGUGGAAAGGUAGGGUAUCUUUUUAACAUGCCUGAUGAAUAAUAAUAGAAUAUGUAGCAGUAAAUUUACUGUGUAAUCCCGAGUACCUGAGACUUUGCCAGCUGGAAGGAAAGGGAUGCAUACUUUAAUUGGCCUCCCUAACCAUAACAGUGCACCCCUUACUACUUCUUUGAUCUGGGUCUCUCCUGACUGCCUCUUUGCCUGAGUGACUGGCAAACUUAUAUGUGAUUUGCUGUAAGGCACACAACUGUGAACAAGCACCUGGUGUGUAGUAGCAGCUCCUGUUUUUAAUCAGCCUUUGGAGUAGUAGGCAUAUGAGGAUGUCUGGUCCUGUGUUCUGUAAACUGGGUCUGGGUCAAGAUAGUAGACUUCAUAGUAAAAGAGCAGGAGGAAGCAUCAGCAGAGGGACAGUCUGUGGGGGAGAUAGGUAAAUUCAGUAUUCAAUGUCUGUAGCUCUGGAGAGGAAUCAUACUUCCCUGUGAAAGGGAUGUAGCAAAACCCCAUAACCUCAGGUAACUGACACUUGUUCUCAGCGCCAGCGUCUGCCUUGCUGAGGCAUCAUCAGGCUCCAGCCCUAGGCUCCCACAGUGCGAGCUGCCCUCCCAUAAUGUGGUGGGAGGGCUGGUAAGGUCCCACACAGCACCUCGUGGGCUGCCUCCUUCUUGCAAUGGCUAGUAUGGCUUUUCACAGCCCCUAAAACUUCUCAGUACAGCUUUUGGCUCCUCUACAAGGGCUUUUCAUAGCUGUAGCUCCUGUGGCUUGCUGCAGCAUGGGGUUUUUUUUUGUUUGUUUUGUUUUUGUUUUUGGAACAGAUGGUGUCUUACGUAGAAAGUUACUGUAUUUUUGUAUGACUGGGUUUUAUUUAUUUAUUUCCUUGUCUCUCCCUUUUAUUUUUUGAAGUAGGCUUAAUUUUGACAACAGUGCUGGAUUUAUCUUUGAUAUAUUAAUGUUUGUGUUUGUGUACGCGUGCAGUAUUUUGCAGCGCAGUGGUUGUGUUUUCAAGUGUUAAUGGGCACAUUUUUGUCAAAAGUGCAAUUAGUUUGAAAUUUGAAGGGAAAACAGCCCGUGAAGGAAGAUCUUUGAGAAGAAAAGUAAAUGUCGUCUCAAAUGAGCACUGUACUCACUGGAGUAAGGUUUUGUUUUUAAGUCAGUAGAUGGGUUUUCUGUAUCUAAUCUUUGUGUUGUGUUUUUUAAUUGAUAUCAUCUGGUCAAUUUGAGGGAAAAUGCUAUUCCCAUAAGGAAAAUAUUUAUUCUAAAUAUUAUUGUUGCCUAGGAUCUUGUUGAAUUCAUGAGAUACAGCAGCAGUCGAGUUGAUUUAAUAUUUUUAACAUUUUUAUAGUGUUUUCUCAUUGUUUCCAUGAAAGCAAUUUCAAUAAAUAUUUUUGCAAUUGCUUUUGGUUUCUUGAAAUUAGGUUACCUAUUGUUGAAAACUGCAGGUUCUCAAGCAUGGGUUUCAGAUCUGGUUUGUCAUGAUUAGACGUUUGAAAUAAAAUAUAAAUACUUGAGCAAGCCUCAAAAUGAUCACUUGUCUUUUCCCUGCUUAGCUUCCAAAAUGCCGUUUGUUCUGUCUAGUGAGUCUCCUUAAUUUGAUCCUUAUUUGUAAAGAUAGCUACAUUCACAGGGGUUUGGUUCCAUUCAGCCAAAUCACUUCCUUUUAUUCAUUUGUGUGUAUGUGUGUAUAUGUACGUGUGUGUGUGUGUGUGUGUGUACAUGGAAAACACAUAUACACACCAUCUGCCUGUAGACAGUAAUGCAUACCUUAAGUGAACAGGAUCAUCCCAUUUGAAAGACAAGGUUUAUGUUUUCAUCCUAAACCCAAGCCUUAUCUCACAGCAGCAUUUUUUUUUCUUUGCAAUGCAUUUUUUUUUUUCCAGUAACUUGUGAACAUGUGGCCUUCCAUAUAGAAGUGUUCUGAGGUAUAUGGGAAGAGAGACCGGGGGACAUUUGAGUGCUUCCUCAUGGCCCUGACUUUACACAUGGUUGGAUCGUGUCCUUUCACAGGGGCAGUCAUUCGUGGCCCCACAUCUAGACUGAGUUCCAAACAUGGUGAUAAAAAGCUCCACGCUUCUGUGUUCUCUAUCACAUGUGUUUUAAGGUAAAGGAUUCCCUGCUGAUGUUGGGCAGUUUGGAUCUUGUCAUCUUCAUUUGCCUUGUUUUCCUCAUAAAAGCAGCACAAGUUAUUUGAAUGAUCUGUUUAUAGGACUGCUUGAGAGAAUUCCCUUAAUAAUGAGACAGUUCAACAAAAAAUCUCAAGAUAAUGGCUUUUCCAUUUGCACCUCUCAGACAUUGUUUCAAGUGGAAGCAAAAGGAUUAUUAAAACCCUUGUAAGUAGUUUAAAUUCCCUAGUGAUACACCACAGUGGUUUUGUUCUAAGUAUUACACAGAUGGGUUGUAAAGGGUAAAAAUAUAAUUGAAUUUGUGUGGAUAUGUAAAGAUGUUAAAUAUUUUGUAGGUAGCCAACUUGAAGAGUUGUUUUCCAUAUAUAUUUGUAUUUACCACGACCGAUUUCUGUUGUGGAGUGAAAAAGCACACAUUUUCAUCAGUGUAAAAGGGCACCAACAGUGACACCAGUUCAGUUUGCAUGCGUCCGUUUGCUUUACGUUUUGAAGUUUUAAAUAAAAAACCACAAUAGAUACAGCUCUUCUAAGAAUAUUUUGUAUCAUCUAGAUGAGGUGGAACUUUCUCAUGUCAAACCAUGGUAAAGAUGGCAUAUACCCUUCCUCAACUAAUGGAGCAGGAAGAUGUGAUUAGCUGAAGACUAGCUUUUGGCGUGUGGAUGAGCGUAUAAAAAUGCUGCUGUUGCUUUCUGUAUUCCUUUGUUUAACAGACAAUAUAUGGCAUAUAUAGGUGUUCACAUAUGUAUAAUAAUGCCACACUGACAAACUUCAGGAUUAAGUCUCUGGUUAACGUCAGAACAAGCAGCAGUAGGAGUUUCCUUACGCUAUCUGGGCAAUGAAUCUUCAAGAUUCCACAGUCAAGCUGUCUCUGAACAACUUGACUCUGAAACAGGAUAGAAAAUAAAGCAGUUCGUAUCCAUGUAAAAGGGCAUGUUUUUAAAAGCAUUUCCAAAAUGUUUAGUUGAAAAGUUCGAUUGUAAAAAUGUUAUCUUUGACCUUAUUUUAGUAAAAUGAGCAGCUAGUAAUCCAGUGGUGUUGUAUGUGUCCAGCAACAGAUGUGAUUUAAUGUAACUCUGAGAUACAGGCUGGUGGUUCCCUAGUUUCAACUUCAGUACUCUGUUUUAUUGAGGCUGAAAGGCUAGCUUCAGUUGCUGGUGUGGCCAUAGGGUUGUUACUGCACGAACAGCAAAAAACCUCUUCAGCUAGGGAUGGUAGUAUGAGGUGAGGAUCGGGAUGAGUGUUUUCUGAACUCCAUAUGAUGUUUUCCAUUGAGGUACAUUGAAUUAUGUGCCGCUGUUUGAAAAUUAGCUUCUGUCAACUGGAGCACUGCUGCCCAGUCGGUCUCAGCAUGCAGAGGGAAGGUCUGAUGUCCCAGCACCCAGAGGAUGCUGUUGGGACAUUCUCACUGUGAGUGAAUGGUUUUAUCACUAUAUUUUGAUGUGCUGUUGAGACACUAAGGAAAAUGGUUCUAGAGCCUGUGCUGCUGGUAGGAGAGUGCUGUGGGUGAAUCCAUUGCCCUGUUCGAAGUGAGAAACAGCUGCAGCCACACUGCUUCCCAUGGCUGCUCUGAAUGGCUGUCCAGCAGUGGACACAGAGACCUCCCAGUACUCUCAUAUGAAUCCCUAAUGAUGCUUUCCAUCAAAAAGGCUUUGCAGUGUUUUUUUUUAAGAGGGUGAUAGCGGUGGGUAGGGCUGAAAGCUGGUCUCUCCCUCUACCUACCUGAUAAGGUUGCUAAUGAUUUAGUUAGGGUCAGAGGAGGAGUUACCGAAUGCUCAGUGGCCAUGUGCUAUGGCACAGCUUCUGUGCCUCCACAGUCUUCCAUAUACUGUGCUCUUAUUUGCUUCAGAAAAGCAGGAGGGAAAUUAAAUAGAAGCAUCUGCAUUCACUUUGCUGGGUUGUCAGCCAUCUCCAACAAGGGGAUCCUGUAGUUUCACACUCCAGUUUUUCCCUAAAUGCAUACAGAAAACAUGUUUUACUCCGUGGGAUCCAGAAGUGUGUAAGGCUUCAUUUCCUGAUGCUAGCAGAAGUAUGGGCUGCAGUGAGAGCCGAGUGCAUCCCCACACUGCAGUAAUAUUCCUUACACAAGCUGAACAAGAAAAACCAGAGCAGCACGGCUCCUGAGCAAAUAUUGUUUCUAGUCACAUAGGAUGCUUUGCAGCUGAGCCUGGUAACACGCUGCUCAUCUGUUUUGCUGUGCAAGCGCAGAGAAGCCGCUGCUGGUUCCUCCAAAAUCUCCCUCCUUGCCGCACGUUGGAAACGUCUGAACUUUGGCCCUCAAUCUGCUGACACCCUGAGGGAGUGUGAGUGUAAUGACGUCUUUGCUUGUUUCAGCUGCACAACAGGAAACACUCAUGGCCUCCCCGUCUUCCUGCACUGAGCAGCGCUGCCUUUUCUCCCUCCCUUCCCCUGUGGUGCGGCAGGCUCAGACCCACUUCCAGGUUGCACAGCUGUGUGCCGUGCCCGCCCUGUGCUGGGGCUGCCAGCUGCUCGCUGUCACUUCUGCGCUGGUGCCAGGUGUGGGGCAGCUUAUGUAGUGAUUUUCCCCUGGAGAAGAGAAUCCAGUUGUGUUGCAAUGGCUCGCUGCACAGAGCUUGUCACUGGAUGUGCCUCGGCUGGAAGGAGCAGGAUGGUCAGGCGAUGAGUUGCUGUGGGGAGGCAACUUGCAUAAUAUAGAGGACACGCUCCCAGGUGGGCACGCAGGGAUCCUGGAAUGUGGCCCCGAUAUUGCUGAGUAAUGCUGAGCGUGAACGGCUGAAGAGACUGCUGUGCCCUGGUGGAGCAGGGAGGCUCUCUUCUUGCAGAGCAUCGGCAGGAAGCCUGCUUAACCCUCUUUAGCUGUGGCUUUAUGCUUGUAACCAAAACAGGGAUAUGAGUAAGAAGGGUUGUUGAGAAACACGAGCCUUUUGCAGCUGGCUGAGGGCAGAGCAUUUUGUCUCAUCAAAGGCAGCCCCAAAAAAAUUAAAGCACUGCAGAGUUCGUACAAGAGAAUUAAUUGGUUCAAUAUUCAGCUGUUAUCCUCUAAUGAAUGGGGUGCCGGGGGGUCACUUGUAAAAACGAAGUACAUAUGCACCAGUGAAUUUGCAUAUUGUGGUGUGAGACGAGAUGUUGAUUAGUCUAAAAUACAGCGUCCUGCAUUUGCAAGAUUGAAUUAACUUCGAAUGUAUCCAGUUCUGGUGCGGUUGCUUAUUUAUUUGGUUAAUGUUGCAGAGGCAUAUUAUUAGAGAGCGGCUUCAGUCUGCACUCUGUAAUAAGCAAGUUCUGAAUUUACCUCAUUAAUCUAUCGCGCUACCUAGCAAAAUAACAGUUGUUUUUAACAAGCUGGAGUUAUGUAACAUGAAUCAUGCAUGGCAAGAUGCUUGCAAGCAGGGGAAAGCAAGAUGUGCUAAGGAAUAACAGUAUUCAGCCUUCUGCAAGAUAGGAUAUGACUGGCUUUGGAAAUUAAACGCUGUGUGUUGUUAUUCUCGGCCUUACAGACAAGUUCCAGCUAUUCAUUAUGAGAAUGCGUCUUGAAACAAAGUCUUGAGAUGGGAAUGUUUAACAGACAGAAGGGUGAAUUUGCCCAGCCGUGUGCAGUCCUUGGAGGAUUUUGUAUCCUUGCCUGCCAAAUUCUGCCCCCCUCCCUGUUGUUUUUCUUCUGGAAAAGCAGCGUAGAAUAAUGUGAGAAGUCUCAUAAAUUAGACUGAUUUCAUAUGUAAAAAAAAAAUAAUAAUAACUUGAUGAGCUGUGAUAGCCCCUAUGAAUUGUUAUAUAAAUCUCCUUUCUUCUUUUAAAUAUGCCCCUAUAGGGUCAUUAGGCAUGUAUACUCUACAGUAGUCCUCUGUCUCAAGAGAUUUUACAACCAGUUUAUGGAAAAGGGGAAGCAAGUGGUUCUAUGAAUGCAUUAGAAUCAAAGCAAUUGAUUUUAAGUCAAAUCUCUCUUUCAUAAUUUUUCCUUGACAAUUUUCUCUACUGUUACUCAGUUUUGAUCUUAAAAGCUGUACCGAGAUGUUAAGCCUGGGAUAACCUUUUCCUGUGGUGACACGGAUACAAAAAUCACGUAACCAUAUUGGGAAAUAAAGCACUGAGAAUAAUAGCCUUUAGGAAGGGAAUGGCAAAGAUGGUGGUUUGGAAAAGGAAUGAUUUAAUGUUCAUGAAUGUCUUUUCAAAUCGUCCUUCUCACGUAAAGCAAAUCUUUCUAUAUUUUUUCAUACAUGGAUAAAAUUACUGUAAAGUGUAGAGAAGGACUGCUAACCGCUGUACUUUGAGAUUUUACUAAUAUUAGUAACAAAUAAGCAAAAAAAAAAAAAAGUGCUGAUAUUUAUGGUUUUCAUUUCUCUGUUACCAUACAUGCUUACAAACACAGUGGCUGAUUACGUGUCAGGGCAGAUAGCAGCAGAGAUGUUAGAAGAAGAAACAGUUACGUCUCCAAGUUGCUCCUGUAACUAGCGCCAUUGCUAGCACUCUGAACUUGGUGAACAAGGGCUGAACAAGCCUGGAUUUUCUCAACACGGAUUUUCUCUACGUAGAUUUUCUCACACAGAAGGUCACUCAGGUCACAGACAAAGAUGUUGAAAAAGCAUUAUAAGGAAGGGGGUUGUGUUACUCUCAUUAUGUCCUUGUUUUCUAAACAAAUGCAGCGCAGCACCCCUCAGACGAAACUUGCCUUUUAGGAAAACUGAAGAGAAGUUUCAGUCUUAGAAUAACUUUAAUUUAUCUUAUUGGAUUGACUUAGUUUUGUAUAGCUGUGCAUUAUUAGGAGAACAGUAGAGCCAAGUGUAGAAGUAGUGCUACAGAAGGACACCAACAUCUGGUGGGUGGAGAAGGACCCUCUCCUGAAUUUGCAUGAUUGUUAACUAAAUAUAAAGUUCAUCAAAUGAUUUCUAGUUGUUUUGACUCCAGUACUCUUUCCUUUUUACUCCAUAAUACUUUUUUGGCUAGUAGUAAUGUCCUUUCUGAAAAUCUAUGAUUUCCUCAAUGCAGGUGAAUAUUAUGUAGAGGCAUCAAAUUAAAUUAUUGGCAUUUUUUUUUUUUUCACACUAUCAAUAGUAGCAAGGUCGCCAUUCUAUGAUGUGACUAAUUAGGAAGAUUGAAGUGUCUUUUGUGGGAUCUUCCCUUGCUCUUUGGUGGGACGUGAGGGCUGCUCAAUGGCCAUGGUGUGAGGCGUGGGCAGCACAGGAGGGGCUGCCCUUGGUUUCUACUGGAAUUUCUGUUGAGAUCAGGGCAACGUGAAUGAGCAAAGUAGGGCAAACAGGUGGCUGCUGUGUGAAAGAAAAUACCAUGAGUAACACUGCUGUGUAUGAGUGUGGUGGGGUGUCGGUGUGCACACAGAGAUUGGCUUGUCGAGGAGCAGCUCUCACAUCCUGGGGUCCUUGAAAUGAUCGUCAGAGGUUAAUAGUCUUGGUCAGAAUGCUCUGCAGAAAGAUUUCUUGCCCUGGGAAUUGUUGUGCGCAGUUGUCUCAUUUUCCUUUCCUCUCUUGAAAGCCAAUGUUAUCUUGUCCAUUCAACCCCGUAAAGUAUCCCCAGGUUAUCAAGUUCUUCUCAUAUUGCAGCAAAACUUGAAAUAAUUACCAAUUCAGCUUCACUAUUUCUGUCAGCUUAAAAAAAAAAAAAAAAAGAAAAGAAAUUUAAUUUACACUAAUUACUCAGAACUUGAGAUGCUCAGCAUGAAAGUGGCUAGGUGCAAAAUAGGAUUAAAUAUGUAAAGGAGAAAAAAGCAUUGUGUGUUGCAUUUUUCCUAUUUAAUGCUCUGUUUGUAUGUCAUUACCAAGCCAUCUGCAAGCAGAAUUCUCCUAGCAGACUGAAGCAGUUCUUCAAGAAAAAAAUUAAAAAUAAGAACAGUCAGGCUGAUAAUUUAAAAACAAAGAUUUGGUGUGAACAGAUUAAGAUGGGAGAGUUGUACUGAAAUGUCAUUAUUGCAGGCUUACCUUCUCUUAACUGUGGUACUCUGUGGUCCCCGGUAUGAUCUGAGGAGCCAAGCAAUGGGCAUGCUUUCUCCAUAUUUUGUUGCUGAAACACGAACACUUUGCAUCCCCAAAACUUCUGUGCGUGUGUCUGUGUGUGUAGGGGGAAGGGGGAAGUCAUCCUCUAGGUUACACUGAAGGUUGCAUAACGUAACAUCAGAGGUACAGGGACCGAGCUCCUCAUUGCAGAUAUGAGUUUUAGUAUGGAUUUCACUGGAGAGCAUUAGUGUUGUUCCUGUAAUUGUUCUCAACUCUACCGCUUGUCCUGUGUGGAUGUGUAACAGCUGUGGCACAGUCAGAUCACAGUUCAUAAUGCUUCUGCUCUUUGGGGAAUGAGAAAUAAAAGCUUUUGUGCAGUCCCAGAUGAGAGUGGCCACAGAGGUGGGCUGAACGCACCGUCACUCCUGCUGAGGUGAGCGCAGUUCUGCACUGCUAUUGCCAUGGUACGCAUCUCUUUGGAAGCACCAGCACAACACAUAUUUGUGAUCCAGAGAGUUUGUCUCACCAUCCAGAAAUGCGUAUGUUCUCUUUCUUCACCUCAGCUGACCCUGGCUUUGAACCCUCCCAAACCUUGGAGAUGUUUAUAGCUGCGCUUUGUUUUGUGAAUGGAAUUUGUUUUUCUAAGUGCAGCAUGAAGAUUUGCUUUAUCUGCAUGGAGCAUGCUUGCUUGAGCAGUUGCUUUCCACAGUGUGGCAUUUGUAGAUUAAAAUCUUUUCUGCCUUGGUGGUGCCGAUUCAGUUCAUUCUGCAGCUAGUCCAUUUUGCUAGCAUGCUACAGUAAGGUGCCUGGCUGCUGCAGUGAGAAAGGGAAUUUUUUUUCAUUUCCUCUGAGGUGUAGAUUUGAAAUGAAACUAUUUUUUUAAGGUAAUCUGAAAACUAGAAUGACACUCCAUGCUUCAACGCGUGUUUCGUUUCACCUGUAAAACUACUUUUAAUUCUUGUGUUUGCACUUGGAACUUGAACGCUUUACACUGACACUAGAAAUGACAGCCCUGUGCAUAGAAUGUACGUUUUAUUUUAUUUUGGCAUAUUUUACUGUCCACCAGGUGUUGAUCAGAGAAUUCAGCAGUAUACAGCUGCUGUGAUGUAGUUACUGUAUGUAAUACUCUACCUAAGGAAACACGGUCUAGUGACUAGCUGGAUGGGAGGGGUUUGAUGCCCGCAGAUUCAGUUCCUGGUUCUGCUACACAGCUCAUGCGUUUGGGGUAAGGUUCACACCACCUUACACUGAUUUUCAUGUGAGUUAAAUUCAUAAAUACGAGUUGUGCACAAAAAUACCCUCGCUGCGCAAUAUUCUCUUUAUGUCGGUAACGCUUCCUCACCUGACUGAGAUGUCACGUAGGCAGAUGCUGUGUUCUGCUUUUGAUCCAUACAGAGCCAGUAGGUGCUCUGUACUAACACCAAUUGCAAGACUUGAACCUUUUGUGUUUUUUUGGUGUGCUUUUAAGUGGCCGUUCUCUGAGCGAUCAAUAAUUGCGCUACUUACCAUGAGUACACUGCUGUUAAAGACCAUACAGCAGUCAGGCUACAUGCAGCUUCAGGGCCCAGUUCUGUCUCCUUUGCUUGGGAGUGAAAACAGCUAGGCUAAAGCAGAAUCAGAGACUACGAUGCUGAGAAGGGCAACUUGUGUAGAUCUGGGUCCAAAUGUUAAAUGCCCUGUUUAGAAUAAGAAGGGGUACGUUUUUUCCUCCCAAACAAACUGGUAGAAUUCAAAGUGGAUGUUUGUAAUUUAAGAUAUUGUGUUGUGUUGAGUGUUAAACAGCAGUGUUGAAGAGUGCAGGGAAAAGAUAUUUCUGCUGUGGUAAGAACUAAUACGAGCAGUGCAGAAUGCCCUGGUAUUACCCUGGCUUUUUUUUUUUUUUCCAACUUUGUGAAAUAUGCAUUUUGAAGUAUCUAGGCAGUUCGGAGAGUAACUGAACUGAGUAAAGUCUGGCAUAAGAUAGCAAGUGGGAACCCUAGAAAAUGUUUGUGGAUCUGUAGGGCACAGCAAUGCUUCCUGCCAGAGGAAGGCCCUAAGGACUCUCAUAGGCCUUGCCUGGAAGACUGUGUGGCAUCUGUGGCACGUAUGGGUCAUCAAGACAUCACAGGCAGCCCCAGAGCCACGCCUGUUCAUAGCAGACGAUGGUAUAGUCCUGAGCAGCCAUCAAGAUGCAGGGAAUGGGAGCAGGUGACCUCCAGACGUCCCCUCCAGCCUCAGCAUUGUGACCUGUCCCUCUGUGCCCAAGGACAGUGCAGUUACCUUGGCUUCUGACCUGGUUGGGAUGUUGUAGCAGAGCUCUGAGAAUAGCAAUUUGGGAAUCAGAGCUGGCUGUGGUGAGGAGUGCUUCAAAGUUAGUCUCUGCUAAGUUCUUUCAUCAGCAAUGCAUGCACCUCACUGAUGGACCUCUCUAGGAAACGUUGCUCAUCCCUGCUUCAUAACCAGACCUCGCAGCUUUUCACAGCUCUGCCCCCAGCUGCUUUGACUGGGUGAUGCCACAGGAUUGGGGCUGUGAAAGCAGCAGGGAGGGCUGUGCUAAUUUAGAUGAUUUAAAUAAUUGUGCUCUUGAUACUGCCCACUUACUUCUGUUUUGCCAGUGACCCUUCUGGCAUAUUCAGUAGGAUGUGCUGCCCGCUGGCCGUCCUUUCUGCUCAUCUCAUCUCCUGCCCUAGCAGUUCUUAUUGCUGGAAUGCUUCCUGCAUGCUGCAGCACCCAUCCUUCCCAGACACCUCGUUGUGAGCUGCUUAGCAAAUGCAGAGAAUCCUGUGAUGGGCAGAAAACAUAGCAUAUAGACCCAGUGAAAAGGGGAGCCCACCCUGGGCCAAGUAUCUGCCAGGUGUACCUCAUGCUUUCUUCACAAAACCUUCAAGUGCAACUUUAAUUCCAGGCAGAUUCCUAAGUUGUAGUGAAAUCCCUGGGUCCUGCACAUGCUCUUUAAUAUAGGCGUACAUUGUGAAUAGAAACAGCUUAAUGAACUGGAGCCAGGGUGGGGAAUUUUGGGACUCCUGCUGUUCUGCUUACAGUGUUUUGCAGGAGAGUUUAAGGCUGAGGAAUGACACCAACUGGAUUCACAGAACAAUCUGCUCCUGUUCUCACGAACUCCAAAUUAUUUUCCUUCUCACAUGCAAAGUUGUACCAAGAGUUGCAUUUAAAAACCCAUCUGCUGUCCAUAUUAUAUCAAUAGAAAGAAGUCUAAAAUUUUUCUAAAAUAUUCCGGUUACUCACUCCAUACUGCUGUCAUCUGUCUUUCAACUACAAGCCAUUUCUUGUAGUUGCACUCAAAAUCUUCCCUCAACCAACAGAUGAAACUCGUAGUUGCUAAAAGUGCAAAACUGGGAACAGGAUGCUAGAAAAUAGCAGUGCCUGCUUUUCAAACGUGUUUCUGAUAGUAUAAAAUACAUAAAUUGAUGCAAUAAUUUUUCCUUACUGAGUGUGGGAAAUAGUAAUAAAUUACUUUAAAAGUUUUCUCGUGUUUUUUUUUUUUCAUUAUGCUAAUAAUAUUUUGAAAUCUCAACAAUGUCUAUAAAUGUCUGAAUAUAAUUUUACAUGCAAAUAUGUAGUGUGUGAGAUGUAUGAUAAGCGCCGGGCACAGGGUGUUUGUAGGAAACAAACUGGUGCCUGCAGCAGCAGUUUGUUGUGGCUGUGCUGGAAUAACAGAUUCAAGGGAUCUUAUUUGUCAGUACCUCACCUUGAGGGACCCAGCGGGAGGUGUAGGGGCUGGGUGGUUAUGAAGCGGCAGCUGUUGAGGUGGCAGCAGAUGUGCCUGACGAAGAGCCAGCUAGAGCGCUGCGAUCCACAGCCAUAGGUGAGCUGUCGAGCUGUGUGUUGCAGUGCCCAGACCUGCUUCCUUCCCACCUUUCUUUAGGGGUGAUUAGGUGCAGACUUCAGCUUUUAGUAGUGUUGCAUCUCCACGUGCCUAUUUUCUCUAGGGAUUCUGUGGUGUUUUACCAGUUAAUGGUGCUGUUUUUCCCUUGAGGAUGCUAAUGGGCCCUCUCUUGUCUGUUCAAGCACAAAUUGGGAUUGGAAGGAACUUCUGGCAACGGUGGUGCAGUUAAGCUUGCUAUGUCUGUUAAAUCUCUUUAGAGAAAUUAGUAGGGAAGAGACAGGUACAGGCAUGCCAUUACACACAAUGUGGUUGCAGAUCUCUUUUACUGAGGAAACGAGGCUACAAAAGAUAUCUUGUGAGGAAGACAGAAUGUAUUCCUUUGGGAAUACUUGCUGAAUAGGAAGCUCUGUAAAAAUGGCAAAAUGUUGGAACUGUGAGAUACAAGUGAUUUAUUAUUUUCUCCGUGAUAAUAUCUGAAGGUUUCUGUGAAGAUGUAGGCUUCCUAGACUUGCAUCUUAAGGCACGCCCUAUUUACAAUGUAAGUAUCUCACAAGAUUAGGAGCGGUAAGAAACAUUAUCAUGGGAAUCAAAGACAGGUGGUGAGAUGCCUUCCAGUGUCAGAUCUAAAAUUCAAGGCAGCCGAGAGCGGAGUCCGUUCCUCCAUCCGCAUAAGGUAGCACUCCCAGCACCAGAUGUUACAUAGAGGUCAGCCUUGUGGCGCUGUGUGAGCCAUAGGCCCUACGCUAUACCUUCAGCAAACCUUGCACCAGUGAAGCUUUUGACAUAUUUGGAGUUUAUUACAUGUAUCUUUGCGCUGUGAUUCAGGCUUAAAUUUGUUUCAUUCUGAAGUUUAAAGGCCCCUUCUGACUUAAAGCACAUGGAUUUUUUUUUAAGAUUGAUGGAAUAAUGUUAGACGCUGCUAUUUUAAAAACUGUUGUUGCCUUGCAAAAGUGAAUUUCAUGUUUCUUUGUCUAAUAAUGUAUUCAGAGCACUUGGAAGGAAGUUUUGGAGUAUGGAGAUUUCUGCCCUGGGGAGGUAGUAUCCUGUGCUUUAGUUAGGUCAUGUCAGGCCAUUGUUUUGCUUUUCAUAUCAUAAAGAUCUUGUGUCUUUAUUCGCACUCAGCUGUGGACUUGAGUUUCCUGCAGAGAGUGAAAUAAUUAAGAACUAAUGCUAUGAAAUCGUAUGUCCUCCAUUUGUAGCUGGGUUUAAUUGAAGGCAAUUUUUAUAUACAUAGUAAUAAGUGAUGUAUAUAAGUAACAAGUAAUAUUUCUAUUUGUGGUGCUCAGUAUAGCUGAAACGCAGCCGGAUUGUUUUCUAUGUGAGAAAACAAACAGAGAGAUUCAAAGGUUUGUAGAACUUGGGUCUCUAUCCGCUGCCUAAUUUCAGCCCUGCCUGCCGGCUGCUGCUCUCCGCUUUGCCUCUGCUGGUAGAUCACGCCGGGACAGGGAUGGAGUUGGGCACAAUAGAUUUACUGGUCCAGAUAUGGCAGGGGAGUUGGCUGGGUAUGCUGGAGGGUUUGUCAGCAUAAGGAGCCAGUAAAGCGGGCUUAUGCAUGGGGUGCCAACGAAGGGUGUGCAGAACACAGAGCUUACUCUUAAAACCUGCUGUGGCUACGCAGAGUCGCGCAACCUUAAAUAUGGAUCUGGUGAGGAAGGGCACUCCUGGCUUAAAUUGAGAGCUUACGUUACUCUGCAGUUGUGGCAUGUAAGGGAGCAGCAACUCUCGAGGGAUUGCUGCUAAUGGGAUGGGCAAAGCCUCUCUGCCUUGCCUGUUAAGUCUGGGUUGGUGCUAAUGCCAGGGCUGGGGCAUGAACCUGAGUGAUGUAAGUAGUAGCAUCCACAGUCACAGCCUGGGGUGAGCAUGUGCCUGCUUUGCACAUCAGCUGGAUUUCCAUCAGGAUUUCUAGCACUGACAGCAGGACACUUUUCACCAGAACCAAGUUCAUCAUCAAACAGAAGGAGGCAUGCAAAGGGCAGUCUUGUUAAGUUUCACAUGCAUGAAGCUUUUGCUUUGGAAUGUGUUGUUCCAUUUCCUCCAAGUCUCCCUCGGGGAAACACCUGAUUUGGGUUUAUCCUGACUCUCCAGUUGUUACAUGCUACCUCAAGAUUGCAGCCACAGCUUCCGCCUGCACCAUCCUCUCCCUGGCUUCCCGCUGGUGCUGGGUGCAGCACAGCGGGUUGCCAGCAGAAAGCAGCCCUGGCUGCCCAGCCAAGGGUGCAGACGGAAAGAAAUGGCACCUGCUGCACUGCACAUCGGGGACAGGCCUAGCUGGGAGGAGUUGGCAGAGAUUGUGCUGAGGCUGUCUUCAUGGAUGGGGCAACAUCAGAAAGAGGUGCAACGCACAUUUGUAAGAAUAAAUGUGCAAAAUUGGUUCUUCUGGCUCCUCUUAUUGCAGACCAUCCUUUGCUGUGCAGAGGAUGUGCCCGUUGCGAGCUCUGAGCCGCCCUCAGCAGACGCUCUGUUACACUGUAGGUGCACAUCUGUGAUCUCAUCUUGAAAAAUACGACUUUACCUUCCACUUACCCUUCUGGAGACGGCUUGUCAGAGCAACAUGGUACCGCAAACUUAUCCUGCUUAAUGUCAGCUAAUUAAAUUCACUUUUGAAUAUAGUACUAAGCCAAUUUAAUUCUGUCUCUCAGAGCCUGCAGAGACGCUUGUGACUCUCGGAGGAGUUCUGUCUCUGAUUAGUGAUCAGAUCUCUUUGUGCCACUUCAGACUGUCUCUGUCUGUCUUUGUGUCUUUCACAGUGUGUUCUUAGGGGGCUGGGUGUUUUCCCCCUACUUUCACAGCCCCAACACGUGCCGUCAUGUCUAACAGCAUACUCCUUUUAAUGACAUUUGUUCUCUGAUACGAAACUUUCAUGGCUGUUGCUGGAAGAGAUAUAGGAUUUCUUGUGAAAUGCUCUGGAUGUUAGGUCUUGAUUUAGGAGGCUGUUUUUCGGAAGCGCUGAUCUCUGCAAGGACAGGGAUGUGGGUGACCUUCUUGCGCCGUGCUGGUGUCCCAGCCUCCGGAUGAUCGCUGCAUCGCAGCCCGAGCGCGACAGCCCCCAGUAAUGGUCACUGCCUGUCAUUCUCAAUGUACCUUGUGAUCGCUAACGUUCAUGAGAAUGAGGCACGGAAUUUAAAAAAGGAAUUAGUGAAAAAAAAAGUGAAAGGUCAAAGCAAGUCAUAAUGAGAAAGAGAGCAAAGCACUUAAUUGGGUAGUGCUGAUGGAAUAUAUCAUGCCAGUGACGAUCUGGUAGAUAUUUUUUGAUUCUGCCCUCUGCAUGAUUUAUUAAAGAAGGUCCAAGAGAAAAGUACUGCUUGUCUGUAGGUUUUCAUGCAGUAUUUUUCUUACUGCUUCCUUUGUGCAGCUUUGCACAGGGCAGCAUGUCGUAUCUCAUUUUGAACCCCUCCAUGCUGUCUGGUGGAGGGUACACGUACACUUCAAUGGAGGUUUCUGGUGCAGUGCAUCUUGUGUUUGUAGCUGCAUUUUCCUGCUCUCCUUGUUCCCCCUCUUUACUGAUUGCUUAUUAGUGUUAGGACAUCACAAGUGCAGAACUGAAUUGUUGUUCUCAGCCACGUAACUCUUGGUUACUGAGAAACUGCUGCUCCUCUUCAUUCCAGGAUGUAACCAAGGAGUGUUUGGAAACACUGCUCGAGAAGCAGCUUGCAUUGCUGCUUCACUACACUUGUUCUGCGCAGAGAAGAGACCUUCAGUGAAUGUGGAUAUCAGCCUGGUACAUUUUACAGGCAACGGAAUCAUCCAUGUUUUCUGUUGCCCAGUAAAGUACAGACAUGCUGUGGUGUCUGUAGUGUAGCUUUGGAUGUCACAAGAGAACUAAGAUAGGAGUUUUCUCACCUUUAUUGACAUAAUGCUUAACUUCUGACACAGGCAGAUGCCGGGAAAGUAAGACUUGGGACUGUAAUUCCUUUCUCAAUUCCUUCCAUUUUUUUGUGAGGAAAGGAGAAGAAAGAUUUAUUUCUUCAAGCAAGAUAAUGUGUUAACAGAUCAUAAGUUACUUUUUAAUUUUCAUUUUAAAAUAUGUUUUUCUGAAAGGCUAUUCAUAGGUAUGUACUUCUUUUGUAAUUAGAAGCUAUAGUUUUUUUUUCAAGAAUUUAUAAUAAAUUACAUAUAUCUGGAGAAUUCGUGAGGCUUACUACUUAGAUCUGAUUGUAGUAAACAAUUUGGUGCCUGUACCUAGCCAAUCUAACCAUGUUGGUUUAGGUAUUUUGUCCAUUUUAUGAGUUCUCAUUCAUUUUUCAAGUCAGCAAACAGUAUUUAUUGGAAGUGGAGAAAGUAUUGCUGAAACCUUGCUAAGUCCAAAAGCACAGCAAUGCCUUAUAGGCAUAUUCUAAACACCCAUGUCUGUAAGUUAUCUUCAUCUUUGUUGGUGUGAAUAUGCAGCGUGUGUUAAUGUGAACAUUUACGGUGCAAAAGAUUACAUAUUUUCUUCUUCAGUGUCAUACUUUAUUAUAAGAAAAUAAUACUUCGGGGUGAAAGAGUAACCAAUCUGUAGUUCAUUAUGUGUGAGUAUAGUUUUAGGAUUGCUUUCUGACCAGUAGACUCAGUUUUGAGAAGCAAUUGCAUGCUAAUGUGAGAGUGAGCUGACAGCAAACAAUAUAUUUCAGCUUCCAUUAAUUUUUUCUAACUGUGCCUAAUGUUUGCAUUUCAUUAAAAGUAGGAACAUACUGCGCAUGAAAAUGAAGGUCUUAAUUGAUGGCACUGGGGAUUACUGUCUAGCCUAGUAAAUAUACAGUUUGGACAAGAACUAUGUGUACUUUCUUACAAUUCUCUCUUUAUGUAGAAACUGUAUUGAUUUGUGUCUUUAGUCCCCAAUCCAUCCCCUACCAAGAUUUUAAGGGCUGGCUCUCCAGUGUAUUGCUGUCUGCACCAGCUAUUUCCAUCAUAGUCAGAGCCAUGUACUUAAAUAUCUCUUAUAUAAUUUACAUUUUCAGAUUUCACAAAGGCUUCUAGGCUUCUAAUUCACCCAGAAAGGCUUUGCCUUUGCUUUAAAGAGGUUCUUGUAGGACUUGCAAGUUCUGUCAAAGUGUAUUUUCAGAACUUUGGUAUUCUAGUCUUAGCAAAGGAAAGACGUUGGAAAGUCUCUACUCAAAAGAAUCUUUGUGAAAGGUCUUGAAAGUUGUCACAUUCAUAAGUAGUUCGGCCUCCUCUUAACAGCUGCUCCCCAGUGCCUUCUGCUCUAGAAGAAGUGCUUUUCAUUUUGAAGAGUUCUGGCAUUCUCCCGUGUGGUCCCCAAGAUCCCUCCAUCUCAACUGUGAGCAAAAAGGUGAUACGUGUUGAAUGUGCCUUGUGGACUUCAGAAUCUAGACCGUGGCCUUACCCUUGCUGAAUAAGAGGGUUAAGAACCUGUGAAGGAAUCUCAGCAAAAGGGUCCAGAGACAAUUAAACAGAGGACUCCAAACUUAGUCCAUGCAGGACCUCAGACAGUAUGGCUUUUGAAUGCUACCAAUCUGUAGCAGGCAAAACCUUAGUUUUGAACUAAUUCAUUAGACAUGCAUUUCAUUUGGUUCCUUGUGUUAUGAUUUAUUUGUGUUCAAGGUGUAGCUACUUUGUGAUCAUUCUUUUCUAUUCACGUGGUGAUUUAGGGCUUUUGUUUCCAAACACUCAUUUUCCAAGAUUACAGUUAGCAGACAACAACAACAAAAUGUUUAAAUAAAUUAUUCACCUGGAAAAUUCCGGUAGUUUUUUAAAACGUAAAUGAGGUGAUGUAAGUUACGUGAUUAAGUGCAAUCAUUAGGGAAAGACUGAUUAAAUUACUCCAAAUAAAUCUCCAAAAGAAUGAGUUGUGUGAUGCUGUAUUUUGCUGUAUUUUCCUGUUGAAGACAGCUAGCCAUUUUCAGCAGCAUCCUUUUAUGGUAAAGGUGCUACAGAUAAUUUCUUUGGGAGGGAAGGCUUUUUUUUUUUUUUUUUUUUUCUUCCCCCCAAGCCUUUAAUGAACGUGAAAUGGAAUUGGGAAGUAAAAUUUAAGCAGGUCAAUGGAAGGAUUCUAACACUGAAAAACGUCUAUUUUAAGGAAUCUCCUUUAUAAUGAUCUGAAUGUGAAGAGUUGGUGGUUAUCUACUCCUUAAAAGUUUUAAGUGUACUUUUAAAGCUGUCCACCAAAUCCAGAUAAUGCUUUCUAUUUCUUUUAUACUCAUGUCUUUCUGGUAGCGCAGAUAUGUACUCGAAUUCUAGCACUAAUAUUCAUAGCAGUUCAUGCUAAUAACAGAGAGUCCUCUGUGUCUGCUUUCUAGCAGAAUUCCCCAGGCAGACUUGUUCUGAAGCCCAUAUUGGUUAGGGCAGAAGUGCUGUGAGUUGUGCUGGGUGUUAGGCUGUAUUGGAAGAGCUCACAGGCAGUCGGUGCUGUUCAAACCACGUUCCCGUCUGUCCGUGCCAGGAUGUAUAUUCUUCACCUGCUGUCCUUCAGCCAGUGACUGCACUUGUUUUCAGCAGCCCCCAGCUGAAUUCACAUAGGUCUGUAAGCUACAGAAAGCCUGGAGUGGGGCCUUGUGGAGCACCUAUGAGUACACCUAAAUAUACUUUCUCUUCUUGUGGCUGCUUCUGUUUGCCAACUUAUGUUUGCCUGCUCAGAAGCAGUGUAAAUAGGAGAUAUGACGUAUUACCAUUGUGCCAUUGGAAGUAUACCCUUUGCAAGUAUAUAUAUUUUUUUCUUGUUUUCGACCAUGGAGUUCGCUCUUCUGACCUUAAGUUUGUUAUUAAAUACCAAAUGCAGAGUGUAGGAGACACUGACUUGCUUAGUUGGCAGAAAACGCAGAAGUAUUUGGUGCUGGAGUGCUGUGUGAUGUUGUGGCUGGCCAAUGAAGCGUAAUAAAUGCAAGAGCCAAGCCACUUUGGAGGUAUGAAGAGUCAGAGAAGCAUUAGAGUAAUUUAAAAAAUGUAAACUGUGGGUAAAAUCUAACAACAUCAUUUCUCUAAAGUUCUUUGUUAUUUACCAGACUUCCCUCCUGAAAACCUCCUACCCUAGAAUGAGAUGCAGUUUGCAGAGCAGGAGGAAGAUUGGUUUCUGUCUGGGGACACUCGGUUUAAAAAGACAGAACUCCGACUUUAUCUCUGAUGCGACUCGAGACCACUGUGGUUGUGUCUGUAUGAGUGUGCUCUGGGUGUAUUUUUGGGUAUCCUGUAAGUCAUUUUAUUCACACUUUCAAAAUGAGGGGACCCCAGUUAAUCUGCCUUAUAUAUCAAAGCUGGUUUUAUAGCUUUACAUAUAUUGCACUGUAGGGCUAGUCAAUAAAAUUUAAAAAUGAAUUUCUUAAUUCUUGCCCUCAUUUCACUCAAGGAGAUACAUGGUCCAAGCAAUUUUUCAUUUAUUUAGUGCUGCAGAUUUUAAGAUUUCCUGAACCAACUUGUUUCCAUCAGUUAUGGUUUUGCCAUUAGUUUUAGUAGGAAAAAGCUUUCCUAGCUUUUAAGCUGGAAAGUUGGUUUGUUUUUUCGCCAUCUACCUUUUCAGAGGAAACAGUGGUGCCAGUACAAUCUCAUUGUCCGUAUCUGCAUUUAUCAAAAUAUUGAACAACAGGCCCACCUAUCAAGUGAUUUUACAUAAUUAAAUUAUUACAAAUAACAUGACUGUAGUCACCGAUAGGAAAGUAAUUCUUUUUAAGAUCCUUUGAUGUCAAGAAAAUAGUUCAUGCAGGAGCUCCAAUGCUGCACCUUUUAAGCUGGAGAUUUUCAAUUAGAAAAAGGAAAAAAAAAAGGUUGAGCCCAGCUGCUAAUGCACUGGUGAAAGGUGAAAGGUAUUACCUGCUUGUUGAACACCUGGCAAAUGGAAAAGCUGUCCACCAGACAGUUACACUUUAUGCAUUGACAAUGAAAAUUUGUUGUCACUACCUUGAUUGCCUUCAUAGCGUGCCUGAAAUCUGUCCUGUAGCAGUGGCCAGAACAGUUUGGAGACAGCAGGGAUAUUUUCCUUGCCACUGUGAGUAGAAGAAUGACUUCUGUGAGCCUGAGAGGAACAUGGGUGCUGCUAACUCUAUGUCAAAGCACGUACAUGCGUUAGUAAAGCUUGAAGUAAACCUCUGAGUACGAUGAACAAUAUCUGGAUGUGUUAUGUUUUCAGGUGGGACCCUCUCCUGAUAUGUGACCUACAGCAAGCUACCCUGAAUCGUAUGAUGACAAUGUUAUCGCUGCCACAUCUCUGGAAACCAGUUACUCAUAAAUAUAUGGUAUGUGAACUUCUGCAUCUUACAUUAAGCACUGCUAGUUGGAGCAGCACAGUAACAAUAAUAUGAAGGUGCUAAAAGCUAUUGAAGUAAAUGUUAAGCCACAUGUAUAAUAAAUUACCGUCAGCCAUUCCAGCAGAUGUUUAUCUGCUAGGCCUGGUCCAUAUGCAGAAUGGUGAACUGUUUUAACUGCAAAUACAAUCUUGAAAAUGCAUUCAUUUACAGAUGUUGUUAGAAACCUACCGAUGUUUUUUUUGGAUGGAGUUAUACCGGUAUAACCAUGAUGUGCAGAUAUGCAGCCUGCUAUUCUCCUCCUCGAGCAGGAAGCGGUGGUGGUAUUGGCAUGAAGGGUUCUGUGCCUUAACUGUAUCGUUGCAUUUAAAGCACUACUAUUUUUGUGUUUAGGAAAGGCCUUUAAUUGCUUUUCUCCUUCAUUCCAUUUUCAGUUUCUGGUCAAUCUAAAUUAGAUUAAUUUCACACACAGUGACUCCCUAAAGAAGUGCAAAUUAACUCAAUUUUACCAAAUUCAGCCAGAUGAUGGCAGUUAUUCCCUUGCUGUUUAGCUGUACAUUAUACAGUCUUUGAAUAAGAUUUCUAUAGGAAUUAAAUCCAUAUAUUGAAUCUUUUUUCCUUAGCCUGUAAGACUAAGACCCUCACCUUGUGAAAGGAGGUUAUUUAAUUUCUAGCCUGCGAGGCAAAACUAGCCUGCUACCUGGCAUGUCUUUCUUUCUUACUCUUCUGAUUCAGGGACUGUAAAACCACAAGCAAACUGGCUUUAUGAGAACUGCUACAUGAUUGCUUUGUAUUCUGGAGUAGUUUUGUAGCAUACCACGUAACCAUUAGCAUGGAGCAUCUUCUGAUUUAUGGUUCCAGUCCAGCUCCCACUGAAGCUGGUAGGAAAAUGUUUCUUCAUGCUGAUGGGAGUUGAAUUGCACCGCAUGUGCCAUCUGAGACUUUUAAGUAAUGUUCCCCGUGGGAAAUUUUUUUUUUACUGAUAGCCACUUUUUUGAGAUCGAGUGUUAAAGAUAUAAGCAUAGAACAAAAUUACAAGGAAAGGAUUGUUGAAAUAACAUAGGAAAGGGCUCAGUGGAAGUCCGUGUGCAGAUUCAAGAGUUGUAAAUGGGUGAGGAGAGAUGACUGUUUGCCACAAAAGCGUUUAUCUGGAUUCUGUGUGCUGCAUUUUUACAUAUAAUUUGGGGGAUGUUUGUCAGAUGUGUGGCUGAUUUACUGUUAAUGUCAGUGAUGUAAGAGACAGAAAGUACAACAGAAGUCUUACAGGGAGUAGGGAGAGGAAAUUCAUGCUUCAUUAAACAAUUUGAUGUAUUUUGGGAGAGCCAUUCACAACUCAGAUAAUUUCUGAAUGUUCCGAUUAAUGAAGAAGUGACCAGAUCUGGCUCACUCUGGUUCUGCUUGAAGGGAACAUCCUGGAGAUUAGGUGGGAGAGCAUUGACCCUGCUUACACUGAAAGGGCUGCUAGUGUGUCUGUGUGGCCACCCAUGCAUGCCGAGUACAAUUAACACCAUAGUUUACAGAUUUUUUUCUACACGUUUGUUCUGACAUCUCCUGUAUCAGCCAUAUCUAAGAACCUUUUCAAGAUGAGCACAGGAAUAAUGAUUUCUGUUGCUCUUGUUUCUUCUGAGUUGAUUUAUUUUUUAGCACUCAAAAUUGCCAGUGGAUAUAUAUAGAUUUUGUAAAUAAGUCAUUUUGGUGUUUGUGGGCAUGUUUGUAAAGUAAAACUGGUUUGAAGAAAUAGAGUUUUGCAUUCUGUAUGGGCAGAGGUCUGGAGAGGAGCUGGUAGGCCAACUAGACUAGCUUCCUUUUGCCACCUUUUCCAAAGGUACCUUUUCCAAAGUAGAAUGGUUGUGUUUUGGUUGAUAUUUUCAUGAUUUUUUUAGGUGGAAGGUGGCAUAUCACUGGAAGAAGGGCCCUCUGAGGGGAAGGCUGAUGGGGAGGUGUGGUUGCUAAAGUGGUGACAGCUUGCAGAUCUGUGUGUUUGCUGGGGACGGAGAGGAAGCAGACACCUCUCUGCUCUGCUUCUGAUGAGCUGAGAACAAGGUGUGCUGUGUCUCGCACCUCAAGAGAACUUAUUAUAUGAGGUAAUUACCUCUACCCAAAUCAAAAUGAAAUUUCAUUUGUUGAAUGUAGGAAUCAGAAUGAAGGGUUUUUUUUGUUUUGUUUUUCCUUUUGUGUGUUUUGGUUUUCAUCUUUGGCUAAUUCUCAUACAGCGUUGCAACAGGAAACUAAUCUUCAGGAGCACAGCCCGUAAAAGAUAGGCCUUCUGAGGGACUGGACUCUGCUUAUUGCAGAGACCUUCCAAGACAGGUACAUUGUAAAAGAUUACAGACCUUCACAGGAAAUUAAAUUGGAUGUGAUGUAGUAAAAGAGUGAGAAAAUGGAAAGGACAUAUGUAGCACAUUUAUGAUGAUUAAGUGGUAAGAAAAUGAAAACAUACGAUGCAGUGAAGUGUAUGUAAUUUAGAUAUUGAUACACACUUUCUAGUAUUUUAAAUAAUCUGCCCCUCCUCUUCCCUUUGCUCUCUCUGUGUCAUUAUCUCAGUGUGGAAAAUCAUUAGCAUCUUGUAAAAUCAUGUUGAUUUGGGGCAUAUUAGGUUAUAAAGUGUUCCAAAACAAGUCUCAGUAGUAAUGUGGAGUGCUCUCCAUUGCAUCAUCCAGAGGAAGGUGUGUGGGGAGCCAAACUGGGAGUGCUGGGCAAGAGCUGCAAUCUUGGCUGGUGGCUCACCACGUGGUGAUAUGGUGCUGGUGGGACAAAACUCCCAGUCUGUCUCCUCCUCAGUGUCAGCUCAAUAGCGUGGGUGAGCUGGGCUCAUUCCUGUCCAGGUGCCUGUGGGCAGAGCACAGGUUUCCCUAUCAGGGAAUUCUUUCAAAGGGGACAGUAAUAACUUCCAACAUUUUAAUAACUUUUCUUAUAAGAUCUGGUUACCUGAAAUUGGAAAGGAUAAGCAGAACUCUGAGAGAUUUAACUUUAUUAAACAUCAUAAAUCCUUUCCCUUUUGACCCUAAUCAGUCCCCAGAGUCUUUUUAAUGCUCUUGACAUUGCACCGGCCUUUCAUCAUUGCACAAUAUACGUUUUCCUGUUACAAGGAAACCGGUGGUGAGAGCCCCACUUAAACCAGAGGUGAAGGCAGCAGCAGUAGGUUGGGCAGAAACUCACUGCCAGCAAAGAGAAGGAGGGAGCUGCACUUUGGCAGUACUCCUCAGCAUGUUCCUUCCAUCUGUGGAGAGGAGUGGAGGGGACCCGAGGGUGCCGGAGAAACCUCUCCCUGCAGUUUGUGAGAGCACUACAGACAACACAACAGUGCUUUUGUGCCUUGUGCUGGCACGGGGGCUAAACCUGCCUCAGAAAGCCUCCUUAUGAUUAGGCACUGCCCCACGUCCCCGGGGGUAGCAAGCAGCAGGAAGCACUCGCUGCAGGCCGGCCAGCUCAGCCCCAGGAGCUGUGGACAAGAAAGAGGUGGCUUAUGGCACCGGGAUGUGGGGACUGCCGGGCGGAGGUAUGGUGAAUGGGGCCCUUCUUCGCUGGGAAGGAGCCUUACCAGGUGGUCGAGGGAUGAGGAAUGAGAAACAAAGGCCUUCUUCAUAAAGCAGCUACCUGGGUUUCUGCCUUCCUGUCCAAGGCGCGCACAAAUCCUCCGGAAAGCGAAGGGGGAAUUCCCGGGCUGGUAGUCUGUCCUUCCUUGUGCUGUCCAGGAAUUCAUGUGAUGGGGAAGGCAUCCAAAGAAUCUGUCCCUAUGUGUAGGGAAGCUAAGUUCCCUCUUUUUCUUCCCUAUGUGCGAGUCAGCAAGUUUCUUCUGCAAAUGCCUUAAUUUUAAGCUUAAUGCUAUGCAAAUAUUUGGCUUUGGAGGUAAAAGCCUCAGGCUGGCUUCAGCUCACGGACUGGCUUCCAGCUGUUUCUACAGGUACUGAUCCAAUGUUUAUAUACACAAAUUGCUAUUUAUUUAUUUAUUGUGGUAACCUUUUAAAAGAAACUUGGAUAUUUGCCUAGCCUGUUUUUGCUUCAUACUUGAAAAUUGAUGUAUUUGCAAUGUGCGUACAGCCAUUUUCAGAAGCUUUGGCAAAACCCUCAGAUCUGCUGAAGAUAAUCGUGGUAGGCUGAAUCCUUAGAUAGCACAGAGUUGUUCUGACUGAUUUUUCCCGUAAAGAAGUGCCCAACACUUUGCUUACCCCUGGAAGCCCACCAACCUUGACUAGGAAACAAAGGUGUAGGAAGAGCUGGCACCUGCUGCAGGAGCUUUGUGCUGUAAUUUGGUUGUCUGGACAAGCAGUCACGGGGCAAGAGAACAUUCAGAAUGAGUGUCAAGAGUGCUAGCAAUACAUACGUUAACUAGGUUUCCAAAAUCUACUAAAAUGCUACCUUGAUGUAGAGCACAGUGUUCUAUCCACAUGUAUUUCACUUUCUCCAGCUCUCGUCUCAGCUCCUGCUUGCCUGCAAUCAGCCUCUUAUUAAAAGGGGAAAGUCCAUCGCCUUGUGGACCUUCUGCAAUGUGCUCAGCGUGUGAGCUAUUGACUUCAUAAAGACAAGAAUAGCUAUCUCAAAUGUGUUUCAUUUGCAUGUGGCAAGAUAGAAAAAGCAAACUCUGUGUGAAGACGAGCAGAUGAGAAAGACACUGAAUGCCUUAAAUGCUAAGGGAGUUAAUGCUAUGCAGUGAUUUUUGCUUCUGUUAUAGGAAGUGUAAGAACAGUACGCUUCCUAGCGUACAUCACCAUCUAAACUGCAAAGAUUUCAGUUCCAUGGCAACACGAGGAGCCCCAUGGUGCUUAAGGUGUACGUAUUAAUGCAUUCAGAGUUAGGGGCUGUUACUGAGAUGGUAAGAAUAAAACAUUCGGAAUAUCUCCCAUUUACUUAUUGAAGGCUUUGUUUAUAGAAAAUCAUCCACCCCCUCCCCCCCCCCCCCCCCGUAUUGUCUCCAGUCCUUUCUAUGUGUGUUUUUUUCUCAGACAAAAAGCAAAUGAAGCGAUUGUUAACUGGUGGUAUUUUUUCCAUAAGACUGUUCAGUGCAGCAGCACUUGAAAGUUGCAAGAAAAUGCUGUUGAUUUUUGGUACUGUUGUGUAUCUCUGGAGAGGAGGACUUGGUAGCAGGGGGGGAUUAUUUCUUCCCCAAGAUGUACUGCUUUAUAGACCAGAGUGAAGCAGUAUUUGGGGUUUUUUUAAUCAUUGUUUUCCUUAUUCUUUUUGAUCAGCCCUCUUUCUGCCUUUCUUUACAUCGACAUCCAGUUUCUCCAGUCUGAGGAGCAGGAAAUACGACUGAGCUCUGUUUCCUGGCAUCCAAAGAAAUAUACAAGUGCAAGGAAACAGAGUAUUUUGUUUCUGCCAGUUGCUUGGGUUUGCAAUGUGUCCCCAGUAAUGCACCUGGACAGAGCCUGAGUCCCCCUCUAGAGCAAGUGGGUGAGGGGCCAGGGAAGAACCCAGGCGAGCAGCAGGGCUAAGCUGGCACAGGAAGACUGACAGAAAUGGGCAAGUUGAACUGGUUUUACAGCUGUUUUGCAUUGCUGAAACAGGCAAAGCAGCCAGAGUUAUCGGUGGGUCUGGCCUGUAGAUUUCGUCAAGAUUUCUCUGUGUGACUGCAGAGAGAGCACAGCGCUGCAUUUGGAGGCUGGUUGGCUGUUUCCUGUUGCUGUGCCAGGAGGAAUAAAUUCAUCUCUCUGUUAUCUCUAUCUGUAUCUCUUUCUUUCUUUCUUUUUUUUUUUUUUUUUCAUUUGCUCACAACAGGAAUUUUUUUUAUUAAAAAUAAGGCUGUCAUUCACUGAAGGGGGAGGUUUUGCCUUCAGGAGUGCAGCACAACCCAAGUAAAUCCUUUCUGAGGACAUAAGGAGGAAUGAAAUGAUUAAGUGACACUGCACUGGCACUCUGCAGAGGGCCGAUUUCCACCCUUGGGCAGCAGAACCACAAAGCAAGGAGGUGUUGCAUGUACACAGCAUCUUCUAGGAGAGCUCAGCACUGGGAGCCCCGGCCAUGUGCUGAUGUUGCUUGUCCUUGUAGUUCUUGCUUAAAAAAAACCCACACAGGUGGAGCUCACUGACUAUGUGGCUGUACAAUUAAUGCAUGCUUGUCAAAUGACAUGGGGCCUCAAAUGAAGAGCAUUGUUCAUUCAUGGGCAUCUGUGCGUCAGUGUCCAACCCAGUGCAGCCUCUGGGUAGGCCAGAUGCUUUGGGGAGCACCUCAGUCAGUGUGGCAGGAAGGAUGGAGAGAAAGCACUGAGAAACUUCAAAGAAAGAAAAAAGGGAGGAGAGAAAUCAAGGGCAGGAAGAGAGAUGAGUGAGGAAACAGCAAAGGCGAAAGGGCCAGCGGAGAACAACAGGGGGCUGGGAAGAACACAGGGCAGGAAGGAGAGAAUGCUUUGGUGUGCUUGAGAAAAAAGUCAUUUUCAGAUGAAACGCAGACAAAAAGGAGCAAGAAAAUUACAGAAUGUGAAGUGGGAGAGGAUAUCAGAGUUGCAAAGGAGGAGGAUUCAAACUGAUACAAACAGAAAAUAUGUAUAACGUGUAUGGAUUGAUUUGAUGUGUUGGCCCAGCCAAUUUUAAGUAGCGACUGGUAAGUCUGUAGCAGGAAAGGGCUGUGCCAUUCUUCAUGAGGAAGCUUUGGGCUGGUAGGGAGCAGCAGGGCCAUGUGGGGAGACUGCUGCAGGUCCCAUGGCUGGAGCUGGAAGCGUAUCACUCCAUCUGCAAUGUUUGCUUCUUUCUGUCUCUCUCUGCAGGGCCUGGACUGCUGCCAUCUCCCUCCUUGGAGAGCAGGGUAGUGGAGCACCUGCCACCAAGGAGAAAAACUGCCUAUCUUGCCUUCAAAGGCUGGUGGCCAGAAAGAUGUGUCUGGUUGUCUUCUCGUUUACCUGAGCUGCUGUUAGGCAGGCAGGUAUAAGGUCUCUGUCUAUAUCCCUCUUGUGCAAGCUAUCUAGGCUACCAGAAAUAAACAGCUGAAUGGAAAUUUUACUUCUGGCUGUGAAAAGUGGCUUUUGAAUGAAGUCUACUUCAAAUAACAAAUGCCUUCUUUCCUCCUCCUCCUCUCCACCUACUUUGUUCCUAACCAUUAACUUUUCAUGUCACUUGAGCUAAGUUCAGUGUCAGACUCACCAGAUCCUACUGAAAAACACAUCUCUCUUUUGUGGCAAGCUGAAGAAGAUGAGAGGCUUGUGGUGUUUUUCCUUCUCAAUCUUUGCUCCUCUGGGAAAAGCAGCUAAGGCUGUGUGAAGCUGCCUCCUUCCCACUCUGCUCAAAAAUGCCUCUCCAUCAACUGCUUUGAAGCUUCUCUUAAGGAGGCUCGGCCUGGCCUGCUCAGUGCCAUCAUCUGCCAGGGGAGGUUUUCUCAGCUUGUGGUGGCUUCCAUCGUGGUAGAAGGCUGCAGAAGAUUGCUGUGGAAUAAGUCAUCAUCACCACUAGCUAUGCCAUUUGAAAAUCAUUACUUAAGCAUGAAAGAGAAGAAAAAGAUGAAACAUUAGGAGAUUUAAACCCUACCCAAAGCUCCAAAUAAUUUCUGCCAUUUCUGCUUUCUGUUUCCUAAUCAUAGGCUGCUUCUGCCAUGAGAGGAAAUGGCAGUCACUGGACAGUGGUGCUUGAAAUAUUCUGCGGCGUGCACUAAUACUUAUGGUAAAGAUGGAUGUAUUUAUGGGAAACAAAUGGAGAUCUGAGCUUUCCUGGGGACCUUAAUGGUAUUAUCUGUUAUAACUUACGUGCUAAUACUUGCUUAUUUUGAUCGGUGCUGAAAAACAGGAUCAGAAAAUAGAAUGUGGACUUUGGGUGCUGUCACACAAUGAUGAGUCAGCUGAAAUUGAAGCCAGUUCAAGGUUUAAGUAUGAUCGUUGAUGUUCUUGAAAAACAAAAUCUCUCAACCAGUCAGCAGCUGAGUUUACUUCUCAGCUGUUAGACAAAAGCCACCCUUUGCAGGGAUGCUGUGUGACAGAAGGAACUCUUUCCUUUUCCCUCACCUUGGCCAUUAGUCCAACAGUUAGGAAUCAGAUUUAACCCUUGGUGUUCGUUGCAGGCUUUGUGAGUCUUUUCCAGCAUUGAAAAAAGUAUUUUUGAUAGACACACUAGUUUGUUGAUUUGUUUGCAAUCAGUUUUCCCGGAGGUUGCUGUAAUGUGGGAGGAACUGAGUUCUUUGGGUGCAAACGUUCACUGCUGACUCUUCUUAGUCAUUAGAUGUUUUUCACAUUAAGGUGCUUUUACUUUUAUGGGAAAAUGUCAAGCAUCUUCUGAUAGUAGGCAUUCAAAUUGACAGAAGCCAUUGGCUGGGGCCAAUGCAGCAUCACGCCAGCACAGACCUCGAGGGGCCUGCAGAGCCCUGUUCCCACCCAUGCACCCCUGCUUUACCUCCUGAACCAGCCCUAGGUCCGACAUCCUGGUACCGACCUACAUCCAUGCUGAUGUGCCACCAAACUGAAAGAUGUCACUGUUCUUUUCCAAAAAGAACGUGUCUUUUUAUACAGUUCCCCUGCCAUCUCUUUUUAUUUUCUAACUGCAGCUCUUUUAAGGCUCCCUGCCUUUGCAGUUCUUGCCUUUGUUUAGAUUAUUUUUGGAAACUGGGGAACAAGAGGAGGGAUGAAGUUCAGGGGGCUGACUGUACUAGGAGGCCGAAACUCUUUCUGUCUGUGUGCUCUUCCCUCUUCUUUCUUCUCUCCAUGGCAGGGCAGGUUCCAGGGCACGCCAUGGCCUCAUGCACAAAACGUGGCUGGCACAUGUGCCGACCCCCCCUUCCUUCCUGGAACCACCAUCAUUGCUCUUCUGCUUUCCUGGGUCAGCUGGGCAAAAGGUUUGAGAGCUGUGAGUUUUGAGAGCUGUGGAAUACUGGGGAGCACUUGCACCUUAAGGUAAAUUGUAUGCAGAGAGGAAUGUGUUUCCUUUAUUAUUUUUCAGUGAGGCAGCCCCACAAAGGUUGUUGGCCUUUUCUUUAAGUAUUGUCGUGUUUUUACAUCAGGAGUGUCACACACUGGCUGCCAAGCUUGGCAAGAAAAUCUACAUUCUCUGGAAGCCUGAGGAACAGCAGCUGAAGCCCGAAGGCGGCUUUCUCUGCAUAGGUUUUUUAAGAUAGUUAGCGCUUGGGAAGUCAUUGGCUGUGAGAUAGGUCAGGCUGUCCUCUUGAUAGCUGAGACAGUACUCAGGUAAUUGAGAUACUUGUGAUUGCCCAUGGAAAUUUGCUGAUGUUUAUAAUACUGUCAGGCGCUAAAGUCACUCCCUAACAUUGGUUGUGGGAUCUUAUAGUGGAUCAAUAUCUAAGCACAAUGUGGGAAUUUUCCUCACAUACGUAUUUUUUUUUUUCUGUGGUUAUGAAGAUGCCUAAAUAGCAGUAUGCUGCAGUAAAUGUUAAACAUUAAAAACUGGUUCUGUGUGUACUGAUAAGAGUAAAUCACUAGAGAAGGAAGUAACCUGAGUUUGGCUGGUGAAGCUGAUGCAUCUAUGGUGGAAAUCAAAGUGGGGGAUGAUCACAGUCCUAAUUCUGUCUUUGGAGAAUAGAUUUGAGUCAACAAGAAGAGAGAAUGAAUAUGACUUUUCCCUGAAUUAAAAAGGGAGGGUAGAUGAUUCUGUACAAGAAGCUGCACAACUGAUGCAAAAAGUGAGCCAUAUGUAGGGAGAGGGUAAUCAACAGAACAUGAAAUACUCUUUGAAAAUACAUUGAAAUUGAGUGUUGUUUGUUGUUGUUGUUGUUGUUGUUUUUAAACUGCUGUGCUGUAGCAGAGAUCAGUUAAUUCUGUGAUUCUGUGAAUGGUUGUGCAAAGUGGUCGCUUAGAGGAACCAUAGAAUCAUAGAAUGGCCUGAGUUAAAAAGGACCACAGUGAUCAUCGAGUUUCAACCUCUCUGCUACAGGCAGGGUUGCCAAGCACUAGACCAGGCUGCCCAGAGCCACAUCCAGCCUGCCCUUGAAUGCCUCCAGGGAUGGGGCAUCCAUAAUCUCUUUGGGCAACCUGUUCCAGGGUGUCACCAUUCUCUGAGUUAAAAACUUGAUCCUAAUAUAUAACCUAAAUCUCCUGUUUCAGUUUAAAACCAUUCCCCCUUAUCCUAUCUCUAUCCACCUUCUCCUAUCCCCCCUUGUCCUAUCACUAACCAUCCUUCUCCUGGCAUUCCAUGGUGGAGCAUGGACGCCCUGUCGGCAGGAAUUUAUUGUCACCCACCCCAGUGCUCAUGGCUGGCGCUCAGUGAGGUCUUCUGGGGCUAAUUAUUUAUUUAAUGAGGAGUGGUCACAGUGGCACUAUGAGAAGGGCAGCCCCGCAGCAGGAGGUGUCUUGGAGGUAAUCCCACUGCUCACAGAUAGGCUUCUUGUGCAUACUAUAAAUAAAUAAAGUAAUGAAUAACUGUAUGUUGGCAUUUUUGUUUAAGCUUAUUAACAGUGGCUAAUAGUAUUGAAAGUGCUUUGGGUACUACCAUGCUUUGUAGUUCUCUAAUUUCUUGAAGAAGUAGUUGAAAGGCUUGAGCAGCAAGUUAAGAAAUCAGGUUGCUGCUGACUGAACUUUUGAACUUUUCCUAACAAAAGGGUAGGUCCGCGAGAGAAGAGUCAAAUUUAUGUGUGUGUACACAUGAGCAGUCCAGAUGAUUUCACUCCAAAGAGAGAAAUCUUCCUCUUUUUAGGCUAAAUAGGCAUGACAAUGCUGCUCCUUAGUUCCACGUGUUUCAAAGGUAACAGUGAGUGCUGGUGAUUCAAGGGAGCCUCAGGAAGAAAGGAAUUUGAGCGUAACUUAAGAGAUAAAAGCUAUUGUUUGACACGAGAUAUUUGGAGCGUCUCUACAAGAUUUUAGAUUGUGUGUUGGUUCAGGAAAGAAGAGAAAGCAAAGCAAUGAAAUCCUGUGGUUAUGCUUUUAUCAAUACAUUUGAUUUUUUGGAAGAAUGCAUUCUGGGUCUGAUCCUCAUCUUCUUUCCCAAUUACUGAUUAAUAAGAAAUAAAGUCUUGCAGAGAAAAGCUUUCAUGCUUUUAAAUUUCAUGGUCUGUAGCGAAGGACAAAAUGAAGAAAAGAAGAAGGACAAAAUGUUUUGAAAAACAUGAGAAAUGGGCAGUUUUGAUGUACCAGGCACAGCUCAGGCUGGGCUCAGUCAGUGCUGCACUGCAUUCACUGACUGCCAACUGGGCCCAUUCCCCUUCAGCCCGGUGAGGUGGCAUCCUGUGCAUGCAGUGUCAGGAUGUUCCCUGCCUCCCCCUGCCCUUCCUGCAAUAUUUUAAUUUCACUAUUCCAGCCGAGCAGAAGCUGUCAGCAGCAGCAUCUGGAGCAGCCUUGUCCUCGAGUGAGUGGCUCUUCUCUCUGCUUCAGGGCAGACAGCGGCAUUGGCAAGGCUGGAGCAACAGGACUUGGAUUUUGGGAAGUUUUAAGCUGGUUUAUGCCUGUGUUUUAAUUGUAACAUUUGACUGUAUUGAAUAUAGGAACUGUUCUCAGCAGGUCUUUGUAUGCGUGAGGCUGUUUGAGCUGGAAUCCUGUGUUACAUUGCUGUAGGUGGAUGCUGCGAUGAGGGUGGUAAAGGAGAGCAUCUUCCCUCUGCUGCCUUUCCCCGCUCCCCGCUUUCUGUAAUCCCCAGUCAGUCUGUGCCUUCCCUGGCCAGACAGAAUUACAGUAGGUAUACACUCGGAAUCGGGUUUUUAUUGUCAGCACCUGUGAGCAAUCAAAGCUUGUUUGUGCAAAUUCAAAAUGAAACUUCAAUCUGAAAUGGGUGUGAUUUCAGAACAGCUUGUUUGCAGCCAUUGUUACUCUUUGCCAAGAAAUAUAAGGCUUUACAGUAACUCCUAGGUAUUGCUCUAGUUACUGUGCACUAGAAUAAACCCAUCAUGUUUCAUGUCUGACUUUAUUUGGUCCCUUAAAGCCUAGUGGCAUACAUAUGAUGCGAGCAGACUCAUGAGACUACUGCAGCUGUAUUAUUUUUCAUUACCGUGUUCUAAAAAUUCAUGUUAAGAAUUUUGGUGAAGAAUGGAUCAUUGACAUAUUUUUAGUUAAUAUCUUGGAAUAGGGAAGUACACCAUCCUCAACUUACAGUCACUCAGCUGUGAACGAGCUAGAUACGGAGUGGACCCAGAGUGAAUACAGAGAAAUGAAAAAUCCUCAGAUCACUUAGUUGCAGCUGCAGAUGAGAUUUUUGCCAUCAGGUGAUAGUUCCAGAAUCCAGGUUCCCGGUGUGUAAGAAGAACAUCCUUACUCUGAUGGUUUGAUUUGCUUUAAAACUUUGACAUAAGAACUGUUGUUUACCGCUAGUAGUGCUACCAACUGGAACCAGGGUAGACUGUUACACAGGUAGUAGUAAGUUGACAUUUAACUAUAAGUAUACUUAUUUCCAAAGAUAAAAAUGUAGGCUUUUAUGCUUAAUAUCUGAAAUAAACUCACUUCCCUCCACCAAUUAUUACUUACCUGAGAUUUCAUCAGAGGUGUUUGCAUGCACAGGGAGAUGUCCGAUUCAUACUUUCAUAUGGAAAAAAUAAGUAAUUAUGUAGCCUCAGCAGACUCUAUUUCUAUGGUGUUUUAAUUUCACUUUUCAAUUAUAAUCAGUAUUACCUGUUUUGUCACUGCUAGCAUGAGAAGAAAAGCCCUAAGAAACUGAUGUGCAGGCAAAAGGAGAAUAGCAUAACUAUUUUUAUGUUCCUUACAUCAGUGUCCCGGUUUGUCUAAUGUUGUAUGGCACAGUGACUCCAGUGCUCCACACUGUUCUGUCCUCAGUGAGCCAAACAUCUAUUCCAAGAUUGCUGUCUGCUUCACAAGUUGUAGAAACUUUCGAAAAAGAAUUUGCUAAUUUGGGGUGCUCAUUCAUUGUCUGCUUGGAAAGCUGAUUGUCUCUAUGUUUUCAGCAAACAAUAUUCUUACACUAUCCUUACAAUGUCCUUACAAUAAUAUGUAUUCCUAAUGGAAUUCUUUUGGUCAGCAAGGGAGAAUUCAUCUGCUUAGGACUUCAGAUGCUUCAAUUCAGAAAACCAUCAGGAAGCACUGCUGCACCAGGGCACCUCUUCAUUCAUUUAUGCUUAUUUAGCUGGGUAAUGACAGUUACCAUUGUGAUUCCCCUUCUGUUCUGUACCUUUCUUCAUUUUUAUUUCCUUGCAUUGAAAAGCACUACAGUGUUACUACUGGGAACAUCCAGCACUGUUCCUGCCAGUCCCUUAUUUUUCCAUAUGCCCUUUCACCUCAGAGAGAGCGCCAUCACUGCCCAUCCGUCAUGUCUCCCAUUCAUACCUAUUCUGUACAAGGUUUGCUGGGUUUCUUUUUGUUUCAGGAACACGGGCUUUUGCAAAGCCUGUUGGCUUCAGAAGCACUUGCACAACUUGUACUACGUCUACUAUAUCAGAACCGACAGAACUGGCAGCUCUUUUAAAAAACAAAAACAAACAAACAAAAAAAGCCCCAAAACAGGUAAACCUGCAAAAAAAAAAAAUUAAAAAAAACCCUCUUCCAAAUGGAGUAAUAUGCCUGUUAUAGAGAAACAAAGGCUUUUGACUCUUCCUUGUUCAGACAGCCCCUUGGAGGUAUGGAUUGCUUCCCCUUAAUGAGUAUUGACCGGGUCUGGGAGACACAGCACCGGGAUCUUCCAGAUGGGUGCCUGCUGGGGUUAACCCCUUCUGCAUGUCAGCAGGAGACUGAACUUCCAAGCACUGGGUUCCCAGCCAUUUGAAGGCUGCUGGGCUGCAUGCGCUGAGGCUCUGCAGGUUACGGUGUGCCUGUGGUGUGUGAUGGAACAGGCGGGAAGUGCUGGGCUGGGGCACCCCGGGACACCACUGGAUGUGUCUGCUCAGGGCUGUUAAAUUAGGCCACGUGCACACAUAUAUAUGCGUGAGGGAAAAGUGGGGGCCUUGCAAAGCACUUGGGCUAAAAAUAAUGUCCGGUGUUGUUUUUACGUAAUAAUGCUAUCACAGAUGAAGAAAGUGAGGGAGGAGUUUGUAGCCUGGGACAUUUCUUCUUUCCUUUGCUUUGCAGGGUAAACGCUAAAGAUCCUGGAGUGUUUGUUUGGCUAAGUAAUGCUUUCCAGAAGUAUGUCAAUGAAGUAGUCAUUGAAGUCAUAGAAUACCUUCCUAUAUUUAGCAUUUAAAUAUGCAGUAGAAAGCCAUUAACUUUUAAACUCCUAAGAACCGUAAGCAUUCCUGCAAAGGAACUCAGAUGUUCAAGUGAGCCAAUUAAGGAUACGGAUUUUACUACUGCCAGAAUAGUGCAGUAAGUGUUGUGCCAUCAGUGGUUGGGGUAAGCUCAGUUACAUCCUGCUGAGUGUGGUUGCUGUGAGGGCACGUGCAGUAUCCUCAAACUGUUGAAGGGGCAGGAUUGCUGUGGGGUUAUCACUUGGUUAGUUAAUUUGGAGGACCGUGCUUUUCCCUAGAGAUUGAUACUAAAAAAUCCAGUUAUGCAGACCCGUACAAUAGUUUAUGUGAGAAAGGAAUCUCUGGGCAUCUUCUUUCCAGCCCCUGCUCACAGCAGGUGCGUGGUUUUGCAUGUUGUCGUUAUCUCACCUGCAUGUGAUCGUGAUGAUUUAUGCAAGAAAGAUUAAUUAAUCAGAACUUUUUUUGUGUGUGCAUGUGUAGACAAGAGGCAAGUGCCAAAGAGGGGUACAAACUGAGUCCAAAGUGUUUUACAGAGGUGGUGGAGAUGGCAUUGAAGUGCCACCAAAAAUCCCACCCCACUUAACACGUAUGAGUGCUCAUACAGAAGGCAAACAUCGCUCUGGGGUAGCACAAGGGACCUAAUUGGAACAUUUGUAACUUAAUUUUAAAUCGUUGUUGUCAUUGUGGGUUAAUAUACUGAAGGAAUCAGUAAAUAUGCUGAAGAAAUUGGUAGGUAGUAAAAGCGAAGGCUAUACAACAGUUUAUAGCCAGUGGUUCUGUUUAGGCUUAAUCCCCGUAAUGCCGUGUUAAAAUUUACAAAACAGCUUGUAAUUGCAGGAGCUUAUUUAAACCAGCUAUUUGUGGUUAUGUCUGCUGAGGAAACUUAAACUUCAGCGUUCCCCAGCCAUCUAAUAGCAGCAAAUUGACUGCGGGUCUCUUGUAAGAAUAUCUAAAUGUAGGCUGUUGAAUAAUCCCUUUGGGGGCCCUGUAACUAUUUUUGUGCCUGGAUAUGCGUCAUCAGUGGGUAUUUUCUCUGGUGACUAGCUUACAUCAGUAGGUCUCCUACCAUACACUCUAUCAGCAAGUGACUUAUGAUUGAUGGGAGUCACGGCCGCGCUUGGGCAUUUAUCUGUGACCUCAAAUAAUGGACAACGGGAAUCUCCACGCUGUUAAAUCCCUUCGAUGACGGGAGGUACGGGCUGCCCGUGCUGGGCGAUGCAGGUACUGCCCUGGCACCGCUCGGGGCCGAGGCGGGGAGGGAGAAGCAGGGCUGCCGCGGUACUCCGGGGCUGGGUGGUGAUGCUGCUCCAGGCUGGGGGCAGUGCUGCUCUGGGGGGCGACGCUGAUCUGUGCUGGGGGUGAAUCUGCUGCAUCUCGCAGCCCCGCAGAGGGAAGCGCGGUGAAGCUGGGCUGCAGUGCUGGGAGCUGGGCUGCAGCGCGGCAGCGCGCUGAACGCAAACAGGUCCGGGGCUUCAUCACGGGGCUGUCUCGCCUUAAAUCUCAAGGUGUGGCGGACGAUGCGGGUUUAAGGUUAAGUUGCACCUGCCCCAGUGACCUGCCGAGCACGUGGUCGUGGUUUGUUUCCUGCUGAUAAAUGCUUCACGUUGUGAAGAGGAAGAAUGCAGACAGAAGUUACCUCCGUUUCUCCUUUCUCUCUGCUUCUCUGUUGAAAUGUGACAUGGGAAAUGAGGCUGCGAGACAGGCGUGAGAUCUCUGAGCGCUACCUGUGAUGAAUUCAGCGGCUUGAGCCAGUCCCAGAGUGAGGCGCUUUGCAAUUUCUUCUUCUUUUUCUCCUGCAGUUUCCUAGUGCUUUCGUUACAGCUGCGAUGGGAAAUACAAGAUCAGCUCUUUGUGAACUUUAGCUCCGAAGUCACUCCAGUCCUUCUCCUGGCAACCAGAGAAUAAAACUGACAGAUAGGGAUGCUCUCAGUGUGAUGGACGAUUCAAAAGCCCCCAGUGUUGUUUAUCACGUGGCAUUGCUUGGCUGAGGGAGGAUAGUGACUGGAUCAGAAUUCCUCCUCACCGUGUCUUCCUGUUGGCAGUUGGCCCUCUGCAUAGCCUGUGCUUUCAGAGCCUCACGCUGCUCUCACGUGUUUUACUGCCUGCUAUUGUUUCUCACCCAGGUGCACGUCUGUUGUGCAAGGCGUUGAGACCUAAAAACUUUCAGAGGGAAAAGGGGAACUGCGUUUUGACUUGUCUGUGUGUCAUCUGCUCCCCACACGUUGCCCCAGCCACUGUAGUUAAUGAAUGAAACCAGGCUUCCUGUAGGAGCCACUUCAUCGAGGGCUGUGCGUCUGUUGACACAGCACUUCUAUAAAGCUGCCUUUAGAAUCAAUGUAUGUUCUUCAGUAUUGUGGAUGCCCUCGCUCUGUGGGACGUAUCUUAUACGUACCUGACCAUUCCUUCCAGGCAGAUGCCUCUCCUACAGCAUAGGCACUGGGUCUGAAUCGAGUUUCCUUAUCUUUCCUCUGACUGGUGAGCAUUUGCUAAGAAUUGCAUUCAACAGAGAAGUUGUAGGAAGAGAAAUGGCGUGUAUGAAGCGACUUGGAAAAUCAAGGGAGAGGAAGGAAUGUAAAGGUUUUCAUUGAACCAUCAUUUCAUUUGCCUCUAUUUUUUUUCCUGUCACUUCAGUAAGACUUUGUGAUUCAUGACAAACUGGUUAUAUAAUUCAAAAUCUGUAAAAGGUUAAGCACAACAAGCAUGAUGAAUCUUGUCUCAUUUGCAUUGCAAUUCAUUGAUUCUUCCUCAAGUACCAUGCUUAGAAAAUGUAAAGCUUUGUAACCAGCUGAUGUUAUAGAUAUUCUUUGCCACAGCUUUCUAGGAAUCAUUAUAGACAGGAACACAUUAGCAUCUCUUGGCUAAUACUGACCACAUUUCUCCCAUUUCUGUGAGGAUUGUGUGUUAAGUUAGUGAAAAUAUUUUUGGGUAGCUUCCACUUACAGUGCUCGUGCAAAAUCUUGGUAUCACCAAAUUUCAAGAAAGACCAAUGACGCCGUCAUCUGGAAUUGUUCAGAUCAGGUCGUAGCUUGCUAGGAAGAAGCAUUCACAAGUUGCCCACCUGUUCCUGGUGCUGUGUGCUGGGCUGCUGGGUGAAGUCUACACUGAUUGUUGUCUGGCAGUGUUCAGCAGUGACUCUCCACAUGCUGUGAUGGUGCAUCAUUGGGUACACACGGUGUCUGAGAAUAAUGGCCCUCAGGUGAGCUCAUGCCAGGCGGGUGCCUAGGCUGUGCACCCACGCCCUGUUGACUUAGGUGACUCAAUGCAGGCACGCAGCUCCGCUUGCACAGCACUAACCUGGGAGAGCCUUUGCUGGUUUGGAGGCCACCUUUCCAAGUAUUGACAUAUUUUGGGGGCUAAAAUGGAAACUGGGCCAGGUGCAGGGAUAUCAGAGGCUUUACCAUGAGUGUUUCUGAAUGCGUCAAAGUAAAAGAUGAAAUAAAGCUCACUUCUCUCCUGCCUAGUACAUCUGUGACUGCAUGCUCUUUUCCACUGCUAAGAAGUCUGAUACAUGGUGAGGGUCAUACCAACAACCAAUGAGUAUUAUUGUCAUUUUGUAUUGUUUGGACUCUUAGUGCCUAAAUUCUCCUGGCAGUAAAGAGGUAGCCUGAGUAGAAAGAGCCACAAAACUAAUGCAAAGCUGGCCUUGCUCAUGACCCUCCCUUCUUACAGGAGGACUUUCAUGAAGAGUGACUGCAUGGAGCAGGCAGCGCUGCUUGGGUCUUACCAAAUACGUUGCCCUUGGAGAAGAGUUGCUACAGCAAGAUGACUGAACACAGUCAAAGUAUUCUGAAAUAUGAGGCAAAGCAGUGAUUUCACUGCUUCAGGGAACAUAGUGUCUUUGGAUUGUGUUAGUUGAAAAUCGUCUUAUAGUUGUAAAUACUUGAUCUCGCAAGAUGGUCUUUCUAUUUCCAUAAACCCCAUUAAAACAACUGAACCAGUUCUUAGAUGCAAAGCAACUCCAGUUUUAGUCAACUUGUGUGGGGAGAAGCUUAGAUGAUAGUUUCUUCAGUUUAUUUUGGGUUUUGUUUCAUGAUUUUUCAGGUGUUGUGGAGGAAACAUGGAUUAGCCAUUGCUUCAUUUUGAUGUUAAUUUGAUUGCAGGGGAAAGGAAGGAGUCACUCCUAAACACUGGUGAUGUUUGUAGUGAGUGGAGUAAUGAAGAGCCAAGAGAAAGAAAAGCGAUGCAGUGAAAGAUUACACGGAAAAUAAUGCAUAAAGAAAAGUUGGAAAAGUGAAAAAAGCGAUUAUUGGUAUUUCAUUUUUUUCCAUUUAAUCUUGAUAAGGUCAAUGAAUAGCCUUCCAUAUGCGUAUAUAUAUAAACACACACAUAUAUACACGUAUAUAUUCUUUUUAGUGGUAAGUCUGUACAAUACUGGAAAUUAAUGGGCUUAGAUAAUGCUGAAGUGCUUCCUGCAUGCUCUGCGUGUGAGGGCCCUGGUACUGAAACCUCUGUCCAUCUGUCCUUCUUCCUAUAAGCAGCCAGCGACUUUCCUAAAACAGUCUGAGAUCCAAGACCAUGCUGUCAGGAACUUGACUGACUUCUAAAUGUUGCUUGGAAUAUAAUUAGUUUGGAAAGAAUGCACACAUUUAUUUGAAUGUGUCGGAGAAAGAAUGAAGAUGCUGCAAGUGAUGUCUGUAUGUGACAGAGGGGAAAGGCACCUACUUUAUCUUGGUAGCCCGACAGCAACUCCUAUAAAUCAUGGUGAUGUCUUUUCUUUGUCUUCUGUUUUGUUUCCUAUAUAUGCACAGCACUGUAAUUCCUGUAGGAAUUUUGCUUGUGGAAGUAUUUCUCUCAAGUGCCACGAAGUGAACAUUUUUCAUGCAGGACCUUGCAUUGCUCCAUAAGCUGUGUGCUGCUGGUGACUCAGCCCAGCUGGAGCCAGACGCUGCUCCACAGAUGCAAAGAUGCACAUGAAUCCCAAAGUGGCAGCGGGUUAGGGACAGAGUUACUCCGGGUAAAGGGAUUCUGUUCCCUUCCCGUCCAGGUUGAAAUCUUCUCCAGGCAGACCCUGACCUGACCCUUCACAGGGAAUUGUGGCUGACUUUGAAACAAGAGGUAAAAGAGGUGAGAAAGAAAUACUCCACACUGACAUCCUCUGGAGCCUUGAUAAAGUCAGGACAGUGAAGGGGUACUUAAAAAAUAUCCUUAUGAGGGAUUUACUUGGUACUGCAAAUCACUAAUAACGGGAGUGCAGUACAAGGCCCUAAUUCAGGAUUGCUGAGGAGUUUGUCCAAUGUCUGUAGUUUUGUAUCUUGACUUUGUCUUUUGGCUGACUGGCUUUUAGCAUUGAGUUUUCCAGAAACUUAUUUGGCCUUUCUUCUUCUCAAGCCAGUUGCUACCCAAUUGCAAUUGCCAAUUGCAAAUUUUGACUAAAAAAAUGAAAUCCCUUUUCAGAUAGUCACUUUGUUUCUACAAACUCAUUCUAUAGUGGAUGGACUCCGCGAAGCCUUUCUUUUUCUGUACGUAUUUAUACUUCUAGUCAGUGAAGUGAAUGCACAUUUCUGAAGAGAUUUUCUCUUGUAUGCUCCUUUGUGACUGUGUUUGUUCAGGGAUAGAGGAGACAGAAAUGAGUCUGUGAGGUCCUGCCAUCUGCUGUCCCUCCAUUGGGAGGUCAAAUGUCAGCCCACAGCAUGAAACCCCUUGCUUCCUCCAGGGACUUCGAUUUCCAUAUACAAAAGCCAGUCAGAAAUCUGAAAGGUAGAAAUCUGUAAUUUGGGAAUAAGAAAGAAAUGGGGUUAUGGCAACUGGGAGACACAAAGCUCAUUAAGCCCCCUUUGACCAGUGUGCAGGGAGAAGGAGAAGUAACCAGUUUUGUUUAGUGUAACCAAAUUGUGGAGCAUCAUGUUGAGUAAAGAUCCUAGCAGAUCUCCAUUCCCCAUAAAGCUCAGGUCAUGCACUGAUGAAAUGUAGCUUUUCUUUCAGUUAUGAUGAUAGGUUUUUUUUCACCCUCUUGAUUCUUGACCAAGAGUUCUAUUCUCUUUCCACUAGAAAUUUGCUGCUCGUUAUAGAGGGAGCAGGGCUACGAAUCAGAAGAUUGGUCACUCCUGGUAGUUUAUCAUUUUCUACCUUGAUCGUUAUUAGAUUAGAUAUGGUGUUAAAAAUUUCAAAGGCAUGACCACCAAAAAGAGUAUAGCAGUCUCAAAGAGGUGUAAAGGAAUAAAAAGGUGCAAAUGAACAAAAGAAGUAUUAGCUCAAAUACCAGGAAAAAGCUGUUAUGAUACAGGCCCGUUCUCCUGAUGGAAACCAGCCGAGCUGAUGAGUUCAGAAGUGACACGGGUGAAAUAUCGUAGAAUAUACCACCUAAAUUUUUCUCAUUUGGGUAUGAGAUGAUCUAAUAGACUUUGGCCAUUUCCUUUAUCAUCUAAUUUCUGUGAUUCCACGAUCACUUUUAAAAAUGCCAUUCUCUUGCCUGUCUCAUUGCAAACCAGCAUCUUGUUAUUUUUUUUUUCUCCUUUCACCAAAAAAAGGGAGACAUUUGCAGAAAUACAACAUGGUGUUAUUUUGAUGAGUCAAAACAAAUUUUUCAAGGCCAUAUCUCACCAUUGUUCUGUGGUAAAAGUCCCGUAGUACUCUAUGGGAGACUUGCAUUAAAAUUGUAUUGCUAUGUACGCUCAGUAUCUACUCUUCAGAGGCCUCAGUGAUAUCCAUGCUCUACUCUCAGAGUUGCCUUUUUCCAGUCCUUUAAAGUUACACUUUGGCUUUACAGGAAAUAAUAAUCAUGCCUACCAUACUGUAACUAAAGUAUUCAGACACAUGAAUCUUUUUCUUGACUUCAUAUAAAAAUGUCAUUCGUAGCUUUAUUUUGUUCUACUCUGACUAUAAUAUAAACAAGAGUUUAUUAAAGCAUUAAUUUUAAGCUGUGAUUCUUGAGAAUGCAUGGUCUCACAAAAAUAGUAUUGAAACUGCAGGUCAAAACCAUGCAACAGAAAAGUGAAUAAUGAGUCUGUUUUCAUAUGGAUGUUUUUAAAAGUACAGCUUGUAGUUGAACUAGAUGUACUGUUUCUUCCACUGCAGCCAGGAAGCCCUCAUAGGUUUUUGACAGUGCCGCCAAAAAAUUAAUGCUUCAGCUGUUUAAAUGGUAUCAAAAGCUUGUUUGACAAUUGUAAUCUUUUCCAGGAAUUUCCUUUCCCAUUUCCCCCCCCUAUAAAAAUUGAUAACAAGAUGCCUGUAUAGUAGAAAUGGAAAGUCCAAGAUAUGUGACAAAGUAUUGUGUGCUGCUUCCAGCUUUGCUGGACAAGGCACAGAAUCUCCAGGGCUGGUAAGAAAAUGCAGGCGCUCAGUUGUUUAAGUAGCAUUUGUUCCCAUGUUUAGCUGCUUGCCAAGGCAGUGCAGAUAUUUUAGUGUUUUCUAAGCCAUUUUUGAGAUUUUAUGUAAUGUGGCAACAAACAGCAGAGCUGUUGGAAAUGGCUGGGUAGGAGCUCAGAGCAAUAACCGAGAAAAGACAAGAAUGAAGUAAGGAAGACAAGAAAUCAUCACCUGUGCCAACAUCAGUUGGUACGGCAGCUCUGAAGGUAAGGAGAUGAGCCUCAGCCUGGCUUCUCCCAAAUUCCUGUUCUCUGCUUUACAUGCAGCAAGGUGUGACAAAGCAAAGUGAGGCACAACUUGAACUUUUGUUCUGACGCAUAUCAGAAAGGCGCUGAAACACGGACUCAAAGGUCAGAACUGUUCCCUUUUCCCUAACGAAUUCCCAAGGCAGCUGUUGAUACUACUCAAUCUUUUAAAGCUAAUCUUUACCAGCUUUUGCUGACACUCAAUAUGAAAUAAAUAGUAUUGUCAUGACUGUUCUUCUCUAAUGAUGGAAGGGAGAUUCCACGCUAAGGAGAGCGAGGCAGAUGGAGAGGUUGCCAAUAAAAAGCCACAGUGUUUGCAGAGGGUGCUGGUGCAUUCAGCAGGCGCCAAUUAGAGAAAUGCUGCUUUAUGGCUAUGACGGGUUAUUGCUGCACAAACACUUGUACAAUUACACAGUGGGUCAGAAGGGCAGCUUACCUCGCCUCACAGCUAUUACUUUAAAGCAAACACAGCUAUCAGGCAUACAAAUAUCACCGAUUGCGGAAGGGGAACAGUGAAGUAAUAAGUGUUUGAAACUGCACACUGAGGAGAAAGAGUGAAUAUAACUAGCCCUGGUGCUGUGGGAAGUAAUUCUUAACUAUGUCUGCACUACAUGGAUUAGAAAAGUCAUCCUUGUAUACCGGAGAAGUGAAUGCUUCCUUCUAUCACUUAAAUCAAGUUAAUAGACCGUUGUGUUGUUCAGGUUCUUGGAAAUGGACUAUUUACUUGAGAAGCUGAGAGUGAGCUAGAAACAUUGAUGAAGCCUCUAUUCUGUGAGGUGGAGGAGAGUGUGGACAGCCGUAUUUGCUGGAGUGGUGAACCAAAUUGCCUUGACUGGAACCAUUAUUCACUUGCACCUUUGACUGCAGCAGACAGGUAGGAGAACAAGGAAAGGAUGGGUUCAAAUGAACUUGGGGAGCAGGCCUCAGUGAAUAUUUUUUUGUUCUCAGAGGGCUUCAACCAGAAGUCACUCACACUUAAAUAGUAACUGAUUACAUGUCCUUUUGUCACCUCUUGGUGAAACCAGAGGCAUCUCUCUUUCUGGAAAGGUUAUGUUUUUAUUAAUUCAGAAGUGCUGUCUUUGCUUUGACCAUAUAUUUGGUUUGCCACUUUCCCUUCUUUGUGCAGUUCUUGCUUCAAGAGUCCAAGGAGCACGCUUUUUGAAAGAAUAGGCAGAAAAAUGUACUUGUCUAAAAUAAAAGAAAAAAAUGGUGGAUGAGGUUUUGAUAUCUGAAAGAGGUAUUGUGGUUUCUUUUUUUUUUUUUUUAAUUAUUAUUUAAUUUUUAAAUGGCCUUGAAUUAUAAUCUGGUGAUCUGUUUGGAUCAUCUCACCAUUUCAAGUGCACCAUUGAUGAUACUGUGAUUAAGGUUUCUUUUUUUCCUCUGGGUCUUGAACACGUGGGUUCAUGCAAACUACAGUUGUGAAAAUGAUGACAGUGUAGUAUCACAAUACUCAAGUUAGCUUACAGUUAGCUGAUUCUCCGUAGCAGUUAUCUAUGACAUUAUAGACUACAGAGGCCAGUGUAUGCUGUCCGGAAAAGCUCUGUGUUCUGCUGCUCAUUGCAGCUCCAUGUUUGAGUUGGUAGUUACAGGUUGGACAGGUUUCACAUAAGCUUUGUCUCAGGGCCUGUACCAUAAAGGCAGAGUUACUUUGUUGCAAUACUGAGAAUCUCCUCUUCUUUAAUCUUCUGUGUACUGGCACAUCCUUGGUGUUCAGAGAGUUAUGUUAGCCUUCUGAAUUUAACAUGACUGACUUAAAAUAGUGAAAAGUUAGGAAAAUAUUUCAUCCUUCUCAUUGGCCCUCUCUGUUUUACAUUUUUUACCAUUUAUAUGUAACCCCGAGAGCUAGACAUGUACAGAAGACAUCAGAUGUUCUCAUGCUAUAUGAUGAUCUCAGGAGAAGGUGUUUAAAGAAAAUGCAUAGUGUAUUUUGACAUAAAACUCUAUUGUUUUUUCAGAACUGUAAAUGGCAUUGGACCUAUAUUUCAUUCUGUAUGAACUGAAGGAGGGAGUGGAGGGGGUUAAAUUGAAAUGGGCUUAAACCUUUUCUGAUACCUGGAACUGGUCCCAAAUAUUCCACAGUCCGCAGUGGUGCUAUAUGGGAUAUUUCUUCCUUUGGAUCCACAUCAAAGUUGUGUCAAUCUGCAUCGCUCUAUUUCCCCUCUGCAGUCUCUGAGAGCUGAGACAUCUUCCCAUGUAGCCUAGGAUCAGAGCUGGAUGAGAAGAGUGUUACCAGGGAACAUGCUGGCAAAAGCAAUUCAUUGUCCUCGCCUGUAGAAUUUACAGUGAAAGUUCAGCAGGGAAGCAAACUGUCCUGAUGCACCCCCGUGCUCUGCUCCCAGAUUGGGAAGCAUUAAUAGUGUGUGAAAUUUAUAAGAAGGAGUUUUGGAAUACUGCAGUAUGAAAAACUAGCCAUGUCCCAACUCACCAGGCAAGAUUUAAGUGUAAAACUGAGAACUUUGGUGCCCAUCCUCUAAAAUGGGCUUCGAGCAUUGAUUCUUCAGGUUUCAUUAGUGUGUAACGUAAUGGUACUUCUACGCAUUGGGCCCUUGUUGCUGUGGCUCUCCUGUAUGCUGAAAAUUCCCCUUAUAAUGUGUCAGCCUAGUAAUGGUCUUUACUUUUUCAUUUGGGACUGCUGAACUUCAGAAUAGAUGCUCUCAAUUAACAUAAGUCAGAUAAAUGUUAUUGUAACUGUGAUAGUACAUAUCACUACUGUGUGUGCUAAGGACAUUAAAGCCAGCACUUAAUACUGGAAGAGUAGUAAAUAUGCUGUAUGAGCUAAUGGACAGCUCACAUUAAGAAACUGAAGCCUAUAUUGCCUGCUUUAUGAGUGUGAACUUGCAGUUUGAUCCCACUGCUAGAUGCAAGGCGAUAGGAAGGCGCGUUUCCCCUGAAGACAGCAGCACGCAAUGCUGCCAAACCAGCAGUCCCGGGUGCCCUGCAGGGUAUGAUUCUUGCAGCAGAGAGCGAUUGCACAAGCUGUGAUGUGCAGGACUAGCUGCUCUAUUUUGGCUGAGAAUCCUUUGAGGAUAUUGGUCCCGAUUCCCUACUGUCUGAAACCUUUUGCUAUUUAUACCUGGGUAAAGUGAAUGCCUGGCGAGCAUAAAAUGCCACUACGCUAGUGCUAAAGGAGCUGUUAUCCACUUUGCCCAAAUAUAAAUGACUAUGCAAAAGGUGAAGCAAGUUCAAGGUCUCUCUUUUUGUUAUAGCAUUACCCCUAGAUCCUGCUGCUCGUGGCUGAAUGUGUGAACAGGAGGCUGUGCUUCAGUGGUGGUGGUUUCAGCUCAAGACGUGCAAAUGCAGCGAGAAAGAAGAACACUCAUUUCUUUUCCCACUAUUAGUCAGAGAGAAAAACACGUUUCUUCUUCCCUGAGAAGAGUACAGGGGCAACACAUUUAUUUGCCAGUUUUCUGACAGUCUGAGGUAGAAGAAAGAUACUUGAAAACAUCUGGCAGAGGCAGAAAUGGACACUAUGACUUGCAGUCUCCCUGCACUCGAUAGUGGGUAGUGUAUUAACAUGCCGCGCAUUGGAGAGACACAGUCCUUGAAAUCCUCUGACACUGCAAGCUACUGCUUUUAAACUAGAACAGAGACAGAUAAGGAUAUUGUGAAGGAGAAAUCCAGCAUUGCAUAUUGUAAAACUGAAUCCUUAAAAAAAAAUUUGGUACUUUUGGCAGUGUUUCAUUUAUUGUAAAUAGAAUCCAUAUAUAUUCAUAGAUAUUUUCAAUAGAAUGUAGUGUACUGCUGUUUCUGCUAUCUAAGCAAAUAUCUUGCUGGAGUAAUUUAAAAACAGAUCUGCUUCGUAGCCAGCACUGCACCAAUUUAAUAGUAAUACUGACCCGUGUUAGAGAUCCUGAGCCAGAUUUUGACAGCUGUAAACCUGCUGAAAACAAUGAAGACAUUCAUGAGGUUACCUAGCACAGGUAAGGACAUCGGAAUCUGGCUCUUUCUGAGUAGAGCUGCUUGUGAAUCGUGUUCUGCCAUGCACUCUGCUGUGGAAAGACCAUUUCAAAAAGCAAGGGAUGCAAAUCAUAGGGAAUAACAGGCAUCAUGAAGAAUAAUGCCUAGGUAAACCUCCAUUUAUGUGCCUAUCCAGUUUAUUUAAAUAAUCCACUUUUUGCUGCAGAUAGGAUGUCAUAAUGUUGUUAACAUUGAACCACACCUGGUGGGAUUGUUUUUACGUACCUUCUAGUACAUGUAUACACCUUUUCACGUGCACAUUUCCCUCUGUC
RNAcentral lists this long non-coding RNA (54082 nucleotides) under Gallus gallus (chicken). Its description in RNAcentral is "lncRNA (ENSGALG00010006547.1)". The record is from RNAcentral. Lineage: Eukaryota; Metazoa; Chordata; Aves; Galliformes; Phasianidae.